RNAcentral lists this long non-coding RNA (81648 nucleotides) under Vigna radiata. RNAcentral describes it as "long non-coding RNA (VRAD_LNC007687)". The record is from RNAcentral. Lineage: Eukaryota; Viridiplantae; Streptophyta; Magnoliopsida; Fabales; Fabaceae.
AUCACCUUAAUAUCUUUUAGAAUUAAGCAUACAAAUUACAUGAAGAUAGAAAAGGAAAAUGAAGAUAUAGACUUGUAACAUUAGGAAAAGAACGAAGCAUGCAAUAAUCCUAAUGUUACAUAUUAAAGAGGAAGAAACACACUUUGGCAAUGAAAACCUUAUUUUAGCAACAUAUUAUGAUGUUUUUAACAUCUGAUCAUACUGAUGAAGAAGGUAAUAAGGUUAUUUACGUUCAUCUCCAGCCACCUAUUUAUACUGUUAUGAAAUCGGAUCCUCAGCUUUUUUUUAUCCUGAUAUUUUUUUAUUUUGAAAAGGAUAAAAUAAUGGAAAAUAAUAAUAUUUUAGUUAUGUUUACAUUACUUCUUUAUUUAAAAGUGUAAUAAUAUAAAUUAUUAUAUUAUUAAAAAAAGGGUCAAAUGAAUAUAUUUUUAAGAAGAGUUUCCAAAAACUUUUUCCUCUUGAGUUGAUUAAUAAUUUUUUUAGGGUUAAAUAUGUUUUUGGUUCCGUAACUUUUAGUAAAAAUUGGAAUUAGUCCCUCUUCAAAAUUUUAGCCUAACUUAGUACUCCAACUUUAGAAAUAUAUAAAUUUAGUUCUUUUAACUGAACUUUUUUAGAUUUAUUCGAUAUUUUAAGCACGUUUCAUGAUAGCAUUUGGGUUGUUUAUACUAUUUGACACAUUUUUCCUUCAGUGUCAACUGAGAAACGCGUUUAAAGCAUCAAAUAAAAUUAACAAAAUUUGGUUAAAAGGAUUAAAUUCAUACAUUUAUAAAGUUGGAAGACUAAUUAAAUCAAAGUUUUGAAGAGAAACUAAUUCCAAUUUUCACUUAAAGUUAAGAGACAAAAGCAUAUUUAACUUUUUUUUAUAACAUCAAAUUACACAAAAUACAUAUUUUUAUAUUUUUCUUUAUUAAAAUAGUCAGAUCAACUUUAAGGUAUCAAAAUUUUAUUUUUGUAUGGACGUAUGUACAUAAAGCACGUGACGAAAUGUGAUAUUGAUAAGAUCAGACGUGCAAAAAACAAAUUUAAUAAUUGUCCUCUCUCCUGCCACCGAUAUUGAAAGCUGCCACACCGUAUUUCUUCUUAAAUACAUACGCCCAAAGUGUUAAUUUACAUAUGUAAUUGCGGAAUUAUGUAUGAAAAAUAAGGUGAAUUGAAAAUAAAUUUGUAUGUUUCAUUGUAUAUGAAUUUAUGAAUGUAAAACUAAGUAAAAACUAACCAUCAAGGUAAUAAUAUUUUGUAUAUUUUUCAAGAAAUUAAAUAAAUAAUGAUGUUAAUCUUCUCAUGGAAAAUGACCGAGCUAUAUAAAUCUUGCUGUAUUUUCUCACGUGUUUGGGACCAGCAUUCAAUUUUUGUCCGGUUGUUUCCUUUGUGAUAAGAUUGUAAUGAAAUUGAACUACGAAUUCUAAGACGUGAUAGCAUUUGUUUGUGCUCCAAUUUCUUAGCUUUUUAAGUUAAGUAUCGCUCAUCCCUUAAUCCUUAACCCCUCCUAGUCUCAAUAAUUAUAACAUGCACAUAAGUUAUAUAUACAUAUUAUAAUAACGUGAAUGGAGUUAUUUAUAAUUUUACUUACAAUCUAGAUUGUACUGGGGAUAUUCCGGACGAAUAAUAUGGCCGGUCUUCGGGAACAAGGAUUGAUGUAUGAAAUAAUUGAGUAAAUGUAACGGUCAGUCAUCUUAGAGAAGAGUAACUGGACGGCCAGAAACAGACGGUAGGGAAGAUCAAGGUAAGACCAGUUUAGUUAAGGUAAUUGUAUGAUUAAGACUAUUGGGCCAAGAUUGGGGCCUGAUUGGGACCACCUUAAUAUUAAGCCCAUAUCCAAAACUAUAAAUACAAGCCACAUGUACCAGGUAAGUGGGUUCAUUUAUUGCGUAUUUAAUUCUGAGCUCUGAUAACCGAUCGAACAUUUGAACUGACUUAAGCAUCAGAGUACCUUUAGCAGGUACCCUCCCGGGGCAUACGUCGGACGAGGAGGACGGACGAUCAGAGGACCAUAGGAGAGACAGACAGUAGAAAGAGAGGAAAUUGUGAAGGGUUUGUCUGACUCGACCACACACUGGAACAUAGAUAGUUUUUUUUUUAUCUUUUAAUAUCUCCACAACAAUCUAAAAUUAUUAGUCUUGUUUAUCAUGAAUUUUAGAGUAAAGAAAAAUGUCAUGUAUAAAAUUUUUUCAUGUUGGUAGGAUAAUCGCUUGAAGAGUUCUUGUCUCUGUUGUAUGUCCUCCUUGUUACUUGCUCUAAAUGAUCGAUCGGUAUAGGAGAUGACAUGCAGAAUACACAGUCAGAAUUUUUCUCUUUAUCUUUAUAGGCCUUUUGUAAUUUAAUAGUGAGUAAAAAUGAGUUUACCUCGACAUUAGCUCCUAUUUAUAGAAUUUAUAAGAAUCUAAAUUAAUUUAUCUCUUAACCGCUUAACAGUAGCUGUUGUGACAUUAAUUGUGCCAUAACUCCGUUCAAUGGUUGUCGGGACCGAACGGUCAUGAGGUGCUUUCUUGCAACCAACUGUUCAAUCUUCUCCUUCCAGCUUGAGACCGAGCGGUCAUGGGACGCUUUCUCGUUUCCUCAACCGCUCGGUCUUUUCCUUUCAGCUUGUCAUUGUUCUCGAUCACUCGAAUGUGAGCCCAUAGUAACAUAGGCCCGCCAAGCCCUAACAUAAUCUUAGUUAUGCAUAGGUUGACAAGGUUGUUAAUUACUUACUCGUGCGGUUCAUUGGCCCAAAGUAUUUUUGAUGUGCCUUAAGUUCCUGAUCUUUUAUACACCGAGCAUUUUUUACUCUAGGAGUUCACUCGGAACGUUCCUAGGUCAAAAUUCUAAGGUGAGAGCUACAAAAGCGUUCCUCACCGAACAUUUGUGAGAGCUACGAAAGCGUUCCUCACAAACCGAACGUUUGUGAGAGUUACAAAAACGUUCCUCAUAAACUGAGCAUUUUUUACUCUAAGAGUUCACUUGGAAUGUUCCCUAGGUCAAAAUGCUAAGGUGAAAGCUACAAAAGCGUUCCUCACCGAACUGUUGUGAGAGCUUCGAAAACGUUCCUCACAAACCGAACGUUUGUGAGAGCUACAAAAUUGCUCCUCACAUAUCGAGCGUAUUUAACUCUAAGAGUUCACUUGGAAUGUUCCCUAGGUCAAAAUGCUAAGGUGAGAGAUACAAAAGUGUUCUUCACCAAACAAUUGAGAGUUUCGAAAGCGUUCCUCACAAACCGAACGUUUGUGAGAGCUACGAAAGUGUUCCUCACAAACUGAGCAUUUUUUACUCUAGGACUUCACUUGGAACGUUCCUUAGAUCAAAAUGCUAAGGUGGGAGUUACAAAAGCGUUCCUCACCGAACGAUUAUGAGAGCUUCGAAAGCGUUCCUCACAAACCGAAUGUUUUUUACUCUAGGAGUUCACUUGGAAUGUUCUCUAAGUCAAAAUGCUAAGGUGAGAGCUACAAAAGCGUUCCUCACUGAACGGUUGUGAGAGCUUCAAAAGCGUUCCUUACAAACGAAACAUUUGUGAGAGCUACGAAAACAUUCCUCACAAGCUGAGCGUUUUUUACUCUAGGAGUUCACUUGGAACGUUCCCUAGGUGAAAAUACUAAGGUGAGAGCUACAAAAGCGUUCCUCACUGGACGGUGGAUACUAGGAGUUCAUUGAAAACGUUCCCUAGGUCCUAAAUGCUAAGGUGAGAGCUACGAAAGCAUUCCUCACCGAGCGGUUCACACUAGGAGUUUACUUGGAAUGUUCCAUAUGUCAAAGGUGCUCAAGUGAGAGCCACGAAAGCAUUCCUCACUAAGAGGUGGACACUAGGAGUUCACUUGGAACUUUCCCUAGGACCAAUCUUUUCAUAUAACUUCCUAAGACUUUUGAUAAAAAUCAUUUGAUAUUAUUAAUAGUAGAAUUGCAAAUACAUAAUAAUUUUUUAGAUGAAAUAUGAAGUGGAAUACCAUUCUCUGUUCUUGCCACGAUUAUGUAGUUUGUUUGGCACAAAUGCUCGCUUGCCCACCUUCAGUUCCUGGCCUGCCGAGGAUGAAGCAUUCUCUUCAUACUGCCUUUUUUGGACAACCCAUAUCUCCCUGAUUCAAAUGAACUCAACGACCUUCUCCUGCAUUUCUCCCAGGGUUAAAAGGUGGUCGAGCAAAUAAGCUAUUUGUAGAGGAGCACGACCUUAAGGCUGUUGACAAGGUGCUGAUAAUGAACUUUUUGUCAACACCUGCCUGCGAUCCGGUUGUACCGAUCCAUGAAGUCCCUCAAGCUUUCAUCUUUCCCUUAUCUGACUUUAGCCAGUUCCAUAAAGGUAAGGUUUUGCGUCUUACUAGAAGUGAACUUUCGCUCAAACAAAUGUCUCAAAGUCCCAAAACUAUCAACGGGUAUAGGACGAAGAGAGUGAAACCAUGCCAAAGUUUCUCCUUUAACCGACAAGGAAAAAACCCAGCACCAAACCCUCUCAUGAGGUGAGUAUAUCGCCAUUGCAUCCGCAAAAGACCUCAGAUGCUCCUCUGGAUCACCUGAUCCAUCAAAGUUCUAUAUAUUGGGAGGCAUCUCAUUAGGCAUUUACUCCUCCAUAAUUGCAGUUGUAAUUGAGUGAAGCGCCCCGGCCCGAGCGGAAUUAACCGGGCGGGCGAGGCAACUCCUGGAACUGUUCCCCUGAUCCGUGCCUUCUUGAUCAAAAUCUGGAAAUUCCACAAUGGGCGGCGUUUGAGCGCGUGUCGCCGACUGCUGAUUUGACUGGGCCUUCCACCCUACAUCACGCUCCGCCCUUAAAGUUUCAAUCUCAACCUGCAUGGCUUCCAUCCUCCUCUGCAUUUCCUGUAUCGCAACCCACGGGUCUUGUUGUCCUGCCAUUCUUAUGGUUUCGCUAUGGUGUCUUCAAAUAUCCUCGGCUCCAUGAUGGUCAAAAUUUUUCUUUGUAGGCAUUUUGUAAUUUGAUAAUGAGUAAAAAUGAGUUUACCUUGACAUUAGCCCCUAUUCAUAGAGUUUAUAAGAAUCUGACAAAUUAAUUUACAUCUUAAUGAUCAUUAAUGCAAACAUUAACAAUAACUGUUGUGACAUUAAUUGUUUCUUAACUCUGUUCAACGGUUGUCGGGACUGAGCGGUCAUGAGGUGCUUUCUUGCACGCCAACCGUUCGGUCCUCUCCUUCUAGCUUGAGACUGAACGGUCUUUUAUGGCGCUUUCCUGUUCGGUCUUUUCCUUUCAACUUAUUGUUCCCGAUCGGUCGAAUGUGGGUCCACAGUAACAAAAGUAAUUAUAAAAUAAUCUGAAAAUUAGAUGAGAAAUUUAUUUAUUAAUUUUCUUCCAUUAAUAAAUUUGUAGUAAAUAUUGUAAUUUGUUUAUUUUCAUCAUUUCCCAUUAUCGUAUAUUCUCAGGUUUAUCAUCACCCCAUCAUAUUUAUUAUUGUCAUUAUUGCUAUGUGACUUUCCUUUAACUCUUAGUCUUCAUUUUCUUUUCUAUUGAUGUUGUCGUUACUGUUAUUUCCAUUAUCGUCAUUACCUUCUUUUCCUUUUCUCUUAAUUCUUCUCUUCUUUUUAUUUUCACAUACUUUUAUACAGUUUUUAACAAAUAUUUUUUGAAAAAAAAAAUUAAUGCCUAUUUUACUUAUUGACGAAUUUUCAAAAACUCAACUAUUAAAAUAUUUUCAAAAAAAAUUCAAUCAAUUGAUAUAUUUACUGAGAAUUAUUAUUUUUUUUUAUAAAAAUCUAUUAUUAACGAACUUAUCACAACAUCUUCAGAGCCUAAAAUAAGAAGUUUUAAUGAUCAUUUUGUCAACAUAGUUUAUCGACAAUAACAUAUUUCAUUAGUAAAUUUUUUAAAUUAUUAACAAAUUUUACUGAUUAAUAAAUAUUUUUAUUGAUGAUUAAAAUUCAUUUGUUAAUAAAUUCUAUUUUAUUAAUAAAUUUUUUUAUUGAUAAACAUUUGAAUGAUAGAUAAUUGAAAUAUAUAUAUAUAUAUAUAUAUAUAUAUAUAUAUAUAUAUAUAUAUAUAUAUUAUUCAACCUUUUUACUUUUACCUACCUACAUAUAAUAUAAUAAUAUGAUAUAAAUACAUAUAAUAUAAUACAUAGAGAGAGCAUGUUUAACCAUUUCUCUUUUCAAACAAAUUAUUACUUAUCCAUCAGAAAUAUCAUACCAACCCAAAAUAAUAUAUAUAAGAAUAUUCUUAGAAAUGUGUAUUUGGUAAUUUUGUUUGUAAAUCUUUGAGCUAUAUUUGUUUGUUUGAUAGUUCAUUUUGUAGUAUCUUUUAAAUUUAUAUUUUUUAUUAACACCUAUAAAUAAAUACAUUUUCAUAUUUGACUUGUUUAAACAAGGUAAUUUACUUUUUUACUUCUUUCUCACUUUUUUCCUUUAACACUUUCACUUCUCACCUUUUCUCAUAAUAGAAAAGGAAUUACAAAGUAAAAUCAGUACUUUCUUUUGGAUAAUAUUUAUCUAUCUUACUCUGCAUUCCAAUAGUGUACUAUUUAAUAUGAAUAAAAUUGGUUUAAAUAUGUUUUAUGUUUUAUCUUAAAAAAAGUUCUUCUUCCUCCUCCAAAAUAAAGUUGUAAAAAGUGAUUUCAUAAGUUUUAAUUACAGGAUCAAAAUAUUUUAACAAUAUUUUUUAACAAUUUUUGAUAAAAAAUGUGUUAUCAUUUUAUUAGUCUAUUUGAAUUUAUAUAUAAAAAAUUAUUUAAAAUAGAUUAAUCAUAACCUAUUAUAUACCUUAUCAAAAAACUAUAAAAAGAAAUUGUUAAAAGAAAAAUUUAGUUUGAAAGGGACGUGGCAAUAAAAGAAAGUGAACACGUUUUUCACAUAAAGAUUUAGUUUUACGUACUAUGAACUAGGUGGUCAUACUUCUUCCGUCGUUUGUAUAUCAAUGAAGGUGACAACACUUGAAAUCAUUAGCUGCCACGAAAAAAGAAAUUUCAUAAACGUAAGACUUUCAUUUUCCUUCUCUCUCACAAUGUUUUGCAACAACUUUAUUUCAGCAUGCUAGGCGACACGCCACAUGUCACACUUUUAAUAACUUAUAGAAUUAAGCAUACAAAUUACAUGAAGAUAUAGGAAAGAAACAACCACUUACAGAAGAGGAAAACCAAAAUCUAGACUUGUAACAUUAGGAAAAGAAAGAAGCAUCCAAUAAUCCUAAUGUUACAUAUUAAAGAGAAAGAAACACACUUUGGCAAUGAAAACUUUAUUUUUGCAACAUACUAUGAUGUUUUUUAACAUCUGAUCAUACUGAUGAAGAAGGUAAGGUGAUUCAUGAGAGUGAAUCCCUUCAAUCGGUGACUGGCAAAAUGCCUUUAAGGACUGGCCAACCUUCAACGAUAAGAGUCACAUCACCCAGAAGUGUGUCCUGACUUCCAUGUGGGUCGGCUUUCAUACGCACAUACUCGUCUCCUUUGAAAAGGUAGACUUCAUUCUCCAAAUGAGAAGCAAAACACGCAUCAAUUCCAUUUUCAAAGAUCGUACUUUUCAAAACAGGGAACCCUUCGCUGAUCUCAUAAAAGCGCUGAGUAAGUUUCUUGGUAUUAUAAUCAAUGCGAGCAUACUGAUUUCCCUUGAAUAUGUAAACUUCUUUGUCUCUGGUUGACCUAAAUGCACCAUCCACGCCCUCAGCAAACACCGUGUUUUUUAGGUCGGGAAACAUUUCAGCGAUUGUGGUAGGACCUACGAGGAUCCUGUCGUUUCCUGUGUUUGGAGCAUAGUCUAUGUAGGCACAGGUCUUGUUCGAGAAGAUAUAUGCUUCACUGCCUUCAGUGUUAAAGGCACAGUCUAUUCCUUGUUCUGCAAAUGGCGUUCCUGCAAGUGAUGGAAAACCAGCACUAACCAAUUCAAGAGGAGUCAGAAGUUCCUCACCUGUUGUUCCGGGAGUGUAAUACAGCCUCACGUACUUGUUUUUCAUGAAGAAAUAGACUUGGAAUGGCAUUGAUGAAGGGAAUGCGGCAUUGAUAUAGACAGUGCCUGACAUUUUUCUUAACACAAGAAGAAGAAGGAGUAAGAGAAAAAGAUAGAUAGAUAGAUUGAGUUUGCUUAUUUUCCUUCAUCUCCAGCUACCUAUUUAUACUGUUAUGAAAUUGGAUCCUCAGCCUUUUUCUUUUCUUUACAUUUUGUUCACUCUAUACACACAUGUGGAAUUCAAAAAGAUCCUCAUAUUUUUUUACUUUUCAAAAGGAUAAAAUAAUAAUAUUUUAGUUAUGUUUACAUUACUUUUUUAUUUAAAAGGUAAUAUAAAUUGUUAUAUUUAUUAAAAAAAGGGUCAGAUGAAUAUAUUUUUAAGAAGGGUGUCCAAAAACUUUUUCCUCUUAGAGUUGUUUAAUAAAUUUUUUAUAACAUUUAAUUACACAAAAUAUAUAUUUUUAUAUUUUCUUUAUUAAAAGAGUCGGAUCAACUUUAAGGUAUCAGAAUUAUUAUUUUUGUACGGACGUAUCUGUACAUAAAGCACGUGACGAAAUGUGAUAUUGAUAAGAUCAGACAUGCAAAAACAAAUUUAAUAAUUGUCCUCUCUCUUGCCACUUAUAUUGCAUUUUCCUAAAUAAAUAUACCCAAAGUGUUAAUUUACAUAUAUAAUUGCAUAAUUCUAUAUGAAAAUACGGUUAAUUGGAAAUAAAUUUGUAUGUUUCAUUGUAUAUGAAUUUAUGAAUGUAAAACUAAGAAAAAUCUAACCAUCAACGUAAUAUAUUUUUCAAGAAAUUAAAUAAGUAAUGAUGUUAAUCUUUCACAAAGAUAACUUCAUGUGUGCAGGUUUGAUAGAAAAAUUCAUGAUGCAUCCAUAAUACAAAGAAAGAGAACAAGAAGGAGGAAAAGAGUAUAUAUAUUUCAUAUAUAUAUAUAUAUAUAUAUAUAUAUAUAUAUAUAUAUAUAUAUAUAUAUAUAUAUAUAUAUAUAUAUAUAUAUAUAUAUAUAUAUAUAUGAAAUAUAUAUAAGAUAAGAGAGGGAAAGAAUAGAAAAAUUGAAAGCAAUAAAUGAGGAGUGGUGAAGUGGUGCGGUGUAGUGGAUUUGGUUGGAAUAUUAUUUCUGACAAUCUUCUCAUCGAAAUGAAUCUUGUUGUAUUUUCUCACGUGUUUGGGAUGUUGGGAGAGGUGAAUACCUGCAAAGUUAUGAGCAACUUCGAAAUCCAAAAAAUAAGACAAGUUACCCAUUUUUUUUUUUAUUUUGAAUUGAGCAUUGAGUAUAUUGGUGAUGUGAUCAAUUUCAUGCAUAUUGUUACUGGUAAGGAUGAUAUCAUCAAUAUAAAUGAGUAAGAUAGUGAUUGUAGCACCAUUACGUUUGAUAAAAAGAGAAUGAUCACCAGAAGUUUGAGUAAACAUGUUAGAGAGAAGGAAAGAAGACAAAUUGUCAUACCAUUGGCGGCUGGCUUGUUUCAAGCCAUAGGGAGAUUUAUGUAAAAAACAUACUUUGUUGUGGUUGGAAUGAUGGAAUCCCGAAGAAGGUUGUUUUCCUAUGUACCUAGUGGAUCUCCUCGGAGAGGUAAUGCUGGUGUCAGUAUGAGUGGCAGUAACAGUAGAGGGAAUAAGUGCAGGAUGAUGGGUUUGAUGUAGGUAAUGAAAGGUAUCAUGAUGAUGGAGAGGCAAGGAUAAAGUGGAGUUUGGAGGGAAGGAGGAGGGGUAUUGGGAAAUUCAUUUUCACAAAAGGUAACAUUGCGAGAAAUCUGUAUGUCAUAGGUGUCAAGUCUAUAGAUGAUGUAUCCUUUUGUAGUAGGAUGUAAACCAAGGAAGAUGCUUGGGGUAGCCCUUCGGUCAAGUUUUUUUUCUAUGAGCUUGGAGGGUGUGCUAGUAUAACAAAUGCAUCUGAACACCCUAAGUCUAGAAAUAUCAAAAUCUUUAUGAAAGAGUUUGUCAUAUGGGGAGUUAUUAUUAAGAAGAGGAGUGUGCAUAAUGUUGAUAAGAAGAGUUGCAUAGUUAAGGGCAUAUGUCCAAAAUUGAUUAGAAUGUUUUGAGUGAAAAAGCUAGGCCCCAGUAACAUUUAAAAGGUGUUGAUGUUUUCUUUCAACAAUACCAUUUGUUGGGGUGUUUCAUUACAUGAAUUUUUGGUGAAUAAUCCCUUGAGAGUUAAAGUAAUCAUGCAUGGCAAACUCUGGCCCAUUAUUAGACCUGAUGACUUUAAUAGUUGUUCGGAAUUGAUUCUUGACAUGUUAUAUGAAAAGCAAAAGAUGAUUGCGAGCUUCAGGUUUAGCAUGCAUCAAAUGAACCCAAGUAUAUCUAGUAUGGUCAUCAACAAUAGUGAGAAAGUAUUUAUGAGAAUGUAGGGAUGCAGUGGGACAAGGUCCCCAAAUGUCAACAUGUAUGAUAUCAAAGGCAUGAGAAGCAACAUAAUUGUUUGAAGUAAAAGGCAAUUUCUUUUGCUUAGCCGUGUGGUAGGCAUUACAAUUGUUUGUCUGAGAAUUUAUGCAAGGAUAUUUUUGUGCAAGAAUACCUAAACAUUUAUCAGAUAAGUGGCCUAAGCUGUUGUGCCAAAUAUUAUUUCUAUCAGCAGUGUGUGUGUUGUGUGCAUUGGUAGGAUGUACAGAGACAACAACAUUGAGGUUAGGUCCAUGAAAAACAUAUAGGCCAGCGCGAGAGUCAACUGAACCAAUCUUGUGAUGUGUCAUUGAGUCUUGGAUAAAACAUGUGGAAUUAGUAAAAAUUACACGAACACCAUUAUGCAGAACCAAUUUGGAUAUAGAGAUCAAAUUAUAACAAAAAUCUGGAAUGUAAAGAACAUCUUUAAGACAAACUUUAUCACAGAGUUGGAUAGUUCCUUUAUGUGUAGCUUGUGUAGUGAUACCAUUAGGAAGAUUAAUUUUCACAGGUGUAAUUUGAUCAUAAGAAUGAAGAUGUUUAAGAGAGGAAACAACAUGGUCAGUGGCACCAGAGUCCAAUAUCCAUGUUGUGGUACCUGAGUCACCAACAAUAUUAAAAUGCAGAAGCGUUUUACUUGUAUUUGAGGAACUAGAAAUUAAGGAGCCAAUUUGAGGAUUGGAAACGAUAACAGCAUCAGUGUUAGGGUUUAGGAGAGCCAUAAGAGUCUGGUAUUGUUGUUUUGUGAGUCGCAUUUCAUGGUCAAUUGUUUCUCCUUGAUUGACAUUGGCAAGUUCUUGAUUUCUUGAAAGCAGACUUUUACCAUUGUAGAACUUGUGUGGGGACCCAUGCUUCUUAUAACACGCAUCAACAGUAUGAAUGGUUUUGCCACAGUGGGAACAAGAUUUUUUGUUGGGUGAAGGUUUUGCAGGAAGACCGUGCUUCUUGAAACAAACAUUAUCAGUGUGGCCAGUCUUACCACAAAAAGAACAGGUGACAGUGCUUAUAGUGGCAGUAAUAUUGUUAGAUUCCAAAUGAUUCAGAAAAGUAUUAUGCACUAAUUUCUUUCUUGUUGCAUGACAUAGGAGAAAAUUUUGGAAACAAAAGGUAUGGGAUCCAUUAGGAGGACAUGAGAUUGAAUGUUACCAUACUGUUCGUUCAAGCCUCUUAUAAAUUGCAAGGCUCGGUCCUAAUGUUUUCUUUGUGAAAUGAUGGAGAGCAUUUUGCAAGAGCAUUUGAUAUCACAGGUUCAGAUCGAGUUAGUUAUAAAAUUAUCCAAUUCGUCCCAUAUAAUGUGUAAUUUUGUGUAGAAUUCAGUGAUAAUUUGGCUGCCUUGUCUGAGAGAAGAAGCUUCUUUCUGUAGUUUUGAGAUGCGCAACAUCCCCUUGAAAAAACCUAGAUUUGAGAUCAUUCCAAAUGGCUUGGGCAUCAUCCAUCCAAAGAAUGUUGUGCCUGAUCUCUGGAGAAACGGAGUGGACCAACCAAGAGACCACCAUGUUGUUGCAUCUCUUCCAUGCAUUGUGCGAUGGGUUUUCUCUAGACGGUUCUUUAGCAGUUCCAUCAAUGAAUUGUGCUUUAUUCUUGGCACUUAACGUAGUGGUCACAAAUUUGCUCCAUGCAUGGUAAUUAUUGGAACCAAGAAGAGGAGAAACCAGAAAUGUGGCUGGGCUUUCGCUGGGAUGAAGGUAUAAAAAGCUUGAAGGAUGAUUGUUCUCGUCAUUCAUGGCGAAAUAAUUGAAAAAGAAAGUAAAAGAUCUUCAAGAACCUCACAAGACAAAAGGCAGAGAAGAUGACAGAGUAUAAGGCGCAACAGAGCUCUUCAAAUGAAGAGCUCCGAUACCAUCACAAAGAUAACUUCACAAUGACUGAUGGAAUCUGUGCAGGCUUCAUAGAAGAAUUCAUGAUGCAUCCAGAAAAGAAAGAAAGAGAACAACAAGAAGGAGACACUAGUGAAAAAACACUGUUUAACAUCACCCCUUAGACGUCAGUUUCGUGAAAAUCCGACAUCUAUUACUGCACGGUGGCAUUAUCGUAAAUAAAUUGGAAAACUAGACGUCAGUUUCGAUAUCAGGCAACGUCUAUGACAUCAUAGACGUCGCACCUGCCGCAAACUGACGUUCAAUUGCCUGAGGUAUGUGAUAAGACAGUCCAUUAACGUCAGUGUUUCAGGGGACCGAUGUCUACUAGGUUGCAAUUAAUGCUGCUGAUAACUCUCCAAAUUUACAUAUUUUUCUGUGUUUAAAGAGUCUUACUUAGCUUUUAUUUGUUCUUAAUUGUUUAGAAUUAGGCUAGUUUUAGAAUUUUUGUUUAAAAUUGUAGUUUUAUAAAAUUGUAGUUAAAAAUAGAUUUUUAGUAUAUUUUUUUAGUACAUUUGUAAAUAAUUAGAAAAUUAGUAUUUUUUUUUGAAAUUCUUUCAAUAAAAAUGUUUUGUUUUAAUUAGGUUUUAAUCACAUAAUUUUUCUUAAUUGCAUUUUAACCCUUUAAUUCAAUUUUUUUUAGAUUUGGAUCUAAUUGGGCUUGGAAAACGCUGCUACCACUGCAAUGCUUGGAGGAUUUAAAUUGAUUUGGGCCGUCGCUGGAAGCUGCACUACAAGUGAAAAUUGGGCUGCACAUUUAAUUGAGUUGUUGCAAGGGAACUGACGUUGCUGCCACCAUUAGGAUUAAUUGAAAAAGGAAUUGGGCUGGUGUUUGCACAUUAUUGGGCCGCUAGCAUGAGUUGUGCUGCGUUUAAUGAAGUGUGCGUUUUGGUGGCUGAAGAGUUGUGCAGGGUCUUGGUUAACACUUUUCAUUUGGAAAAAGGAAAGCACACUCGAGCUAAGGCAGAAGCUCACUUGAGAGAAACACCCUUUCGAGAGAAGCAAGAGCUGAAGGCACGUGAUCUAAGGAGCUGCCCAAAGAGGAUGACCAGAGCUGACCGGUGAUGCCAUGUGGAGAAUCAAAUGGUCGGGAGGCAAAGGAAAUGUUGGUCGUCAGAUUAAGAAAGCUUAUCAUGCAAGUUUCUUUCUCCCUUUUUCAUCUUUUCAUUUUUCUUUUCAACCCUAUAAAAGGGGCUUCUUUCAUGUAAAUAAAGACAGACACUUUCAGAUACAAUUUUACGCUCUGUAGAUUAGUUUUUUUUACGCUUUCUAUAGAGUAGGUUUUCGUUCUCUAAGCUUUUGGAGCGAAUCAUCGUGAUGGUGACAGCCCGUGGUGGCUUCGAUUGCACUCUUCGUUCGGUACCAUUUUUUUGUAAUUUUUGUUUCUCCUUAAUAAAAUGUUCUUUUUCUUUUGUGUUCUUUGUUUCUGUGUUGAGCAUUGUGAUUCUGUUGUGUUCUUAUUUGAUUGUGUGUUCUUGUGUUCUUAAUUGAUUGUGUUCUUGUGAUGUUUUGAGAAAAAUUGAUUUGAACUCGCAUUUGCAUAUUUUAAAUUCCUUUUUGGAAUUAUACGACCCCAAGGUGGGCGUAAAUGAACGGGAUGUCUUCCCGAGACAGAAAGAAGUUUAAUCAGUAAAAAAAUAUUCUAGUUGUGUUAAUUUCUGUCUGUGAGUGUUAAUUAGAAUAGGUUUAGUCGUGUUUCAGUUUUAAAGUUGGAAAAAAAUCAUAAACUGGAAUUGAAUUUGUUUUGUUUUGGGAAAUCAUUUGAUUGUUAUUCAUUUUAAGUUCUAUAUUAGAACUUGAGACCCCGAGGUGGGCAAUUUAUGAACGGGAUGUCUUCCUGUAUAGUAGCAAUCCAAUUGAUAAGCCAUUUCAAGCAAAAUUUAGUUCAGUUUUGUGACUUUUAUCCAACAACUUUGUUCUAUUUAGUAGUUUAGGACAUGUUCUGUUUGUAAUGGUUAGAGUUGGUUUUGAUUCAUGAGUUUCUCAUCUGAUUCUUUGCUUUCAUCAUUAGUCUAGUUAUUUCUUGUUGAUUUUUAUUUACUGUAGAUUUUACAAUUCUUUGUGCAACAAUUACCUUUCAUUUGUAGAUAUUCAUUUAGCUUUUAGGAUUUGUUUAGUUUUAAUUUCCAAGUCUAGUUGUUUGUUUACAGUUCUGAUUUUUGAUUAUUUUGAUUGCAUUUAAUUCUCAUAUUAGUUUAGGUUCUAUUUCUGUUUUAGGUAGUUUAGAAUACUGAUUUCUUAUAUUUCAUUUCAUUUCAUUUUAAUUUUCUUUUUAUCUUUUAAACAAAUUUUCUUUUUAGUUUCAUUUCUUUCCCCACCUUGUCUUGAGUUAGUUAAUAGUAAAUAAUAGAACAAAAAGCAAGAUUAACUCUACACUUUAAACUUAAUUUUACCAAGUCCUUGGAUUGAUACCUAGGUUGUCCCUAUACUUCAUUAGUGGGGAAACUUAGUUUGUUCUGAUUUUGUGCGACCAAUAUCAGUUUAACAACCGCCCAUCAAAUUCCCAGGAGCUUAGACGUCGGCUAGCAAGGACACCGACGUCUACGUCACUGACAGGAAAUCAAACGUCAAUCGGUUCAGCUUUAGACGUCGAAUAGACGUCAGAUCCCGUGAAAAAGCAACGUCGGUUGGGCUACAGUUAAUGUUGUUCACCUAAUGCCCCAGGCAAUUAGACGUCACGUAGUCAAACGCCGACGUCUAAGGCCUGUCUGGAAGGCGGGAAGACAAAAAUUCUUCAAUGUAGAUGUCAGUUCUGAGGGGCACCGACGUCUACGUUCCUGUAUUUUCACCAAAUUCGAGGGUUUUAGACGUCGGCUGUGACGGGCACCGACGUGAACUACCUUGAUAGGAAACCAAAACGUCAAUCUUUUCAGCUUCCUAGACGUCGGUUUCUGGAGCAACCGACGCCCCAUAUCAUUUUAAAUAGACCGCGGACUCUUCUCGCCAUUCAGUUUCUGAUCGCGUCUUCAUCUCUUCUCCUUUUUCUUUGCUUCUCCUCUUCUUUACUUCUCCUCUUCUUUUACUCGCUUGCGCACCUCUACUUUUUAUCUCUUGCGGCAUUGCAUUGUCGUUUCUCAUAACGUCAUUGUCUUCGUCCUCUCCUUUUUCUCUCUUGCAUCCCAGGUGCGUGGUUUUUUUUUAUGCUUACCGUUUAAACUUUCUUUAGUUUUUUAUCAAUUAUCUUGUCGUUCAACUGAUUAAAAUUUGCUUUCUUUGUGUUGUGUUUUAGUGCAGUUUUGAUCCUCUCUUUGGGUAACAUAGUGNAACAUUCUCCCUUUGCUGGUUUCCUCACAAGAAGAGUGGCGAUCUUUUGAGUUUUCUAGUUCUUCCGACCCAAAAUGGAACUUGGGUCCUUGUCUACUUCUCGACACCGUAAUUUUUUUCUGUUGCGGUUGAAUAAUGGGAAGUAGCCAUGGACCCAGGUUCGGUUUUGGGUUGAAAGCACUAGAAGAUUCAAAAGACGCAAGCAUUUUUUGUGGGGAAACUAGCGAGAGGAGAGUGUUACACAAUGCUACCGAAAGCCUGGAUCAAAACUGCACUAAAACACAAAAUUGUUGUUAGACGUCGGUUAAAGCCAUGUCCGACGUCUAUAACAACAUAGACGUCGGUUAGUGUCAUUUUAAACCUCUUUAUAUAUUCAUGUUGACGUCGGUUUAAUCAUAGGUGGACGUCUAUAUAGAGUAAUUAGACGUCGGUGUGAGUAUAAGAAUACGUCUAUAUAGACGUCGGUGGAUAUCUUUAACUGACGUUUAUAUGGAUGUCGGUUCUGAGGAAUUGCGACGUCCCAUAGACGUCACUCGUAUAGACGUCGAAUGUGAAAGUGACGUUAAAAGCUCAAAUUAACCGAUGUUAAACAGCAUUUUUGCACUAGUGAGAAGAAGAGAAAAUUGAUAUAUGUAAAAUAGAACAAAGAAGCUAACAUAUACAUAAGAUAUGAGAGAGGAAAGAAAAAAAGAAGAAGAAAGCAAUAAAUGAGGAGAGGUGAAGCGGUGCAGUGCAGUGGAUUUAGUUGGAAUAUUAUUUCUGACAAUCUUCUCAUCAAAAUGAAUCUUGCUGUAUUUUCUCACGUAUUUCGAACCAACGUUCACAUUUUGUCCGAUUGUUUCCUUUGUGAUAAGAUUGUAAAGAAAUCAAAUUACGAAUUCUAAAACGUGAUAACAUUUGUGUAUGUGGUCCAAUUUCUUAACUUUUGUAACGUUUCGUUUCAGUUUUGAAAAAAUUGAUAAAUAUCAAAAUGGUUUUGAUUCAGAGGGAACCGAUGUAUAAAAAAUAUAUUGUCUUGAUUCAAUGAGUAACUGAGACAUAAAAUUCUGCAUAACCUCAUCUGUUUUUGCAAAUCAGACUUUUUGAAAAGGUCUACUGUUUUGAUUAUCUGAUCAACUUUGAGACAAAUCUCUAAAAAGGACAUAUUAUCUCAAUACAGAUAUUGAUAAGAUUAUGAAUUAGGAAAAACAAAUUUAAUAAUUAUCCUUUUUCCUGUGUCACUAAUAUUGAAAGCUACCACACCGUAUUUCUUCUUAAAUACAUACGCCGAAAGUGUUAAUUUACAUAUAUAAUUGCAGAAUUCUGUAUGAAAAAUACGGUGAAUAGGAAAUAAAUUUGUAUGUUUCAUUGUAUAUGAAUUUAUGAAUGUGAAAACUAAGCAAAAACUAACCAUCAUUCAAUUUUUGUCUGGUAGUUUCCUUUGUGAUAAGAUUGUAAUGAAAUUGAAAUACGAAUUCUAAGACGUGAUAGCAUUUAUUCGUGUUCCAAUUUCUUAGCUUUUUAAGUUAAGUAUAAGCCAUCCCUUCAACCUUAACCCAUUGUAAUUAUAAUAGCAUGAAUGGAGCUAUUUAUUAUUGUAUUCUAACCUAGACAGUUUACCUUUACCUUUCAAAAUCUCCAAGAGAUUUAGAAAAACUGAAAAUGUCAUGUAUAAAAGUAAUUAUAAAAUGAUAUAAAAACUAGAUGAAAAAUCUCUUAUUUGUUAAUAAUUUUCCAUCAAUAAAAUUUGCACAUAAUUUUUUCUUUUUCAUUACCGUCAUAAUUAAUAGGUUGUCGUGUUUAUGACCAUCAUUAUCACGUUUAUCAUUGUCAUUGUCGUUACAUGAUUUAUCUUUAGCUUCUAUUUCUCAUCUUUCUCUUAUUGUUGUCACCUUUAUUGCAUUGUCUUGUCGUUUCCUUUUUUUUUUCUCUUUUCUUUUCUUUCUUUUUUUUCAUUCUCAUACAUUUUCAUUUAAUUUUUAAUUAAUAUUUUGUUAGAUUUGACAAAAAAAGUUAAUAUCUAUUUUAUAAUAUAACUAUCAAUGAAUUUUCAAAAACUCAAUUAUAAACAAAUUUUUAAAAAAAAUUCAAUCACCGACGACAUAUUUAGUAAUAAAUUCUAUAAGAAAAAUUGAUGAACUUUACCACAACAUGUUCAAAGUUUUAGAACGAGACUUUUGACGUCCAUUUUAUCAAUAUAAUUUAUUGAUAAAAACAUCCGUUAAUAAUAACAUUUUUUAAUUAUUGACAAAAUUUACUGAUCGAUAUUUUUGUUGAUAAUUAAAAUCCAUCAAUUAAAUUUGUCAAUAAAUUUUAUUUUAUUAAUUGAUUUUUCUGUUGAUAAAAUUUAAAAGAAUUUAGAAAAUAAAAUAUUAAAGUUGAUAAAAUAAUGAGACCCAUAGUUUAAAAUUAAAACAAUUUAAUAAUAGAAAUAGAAUUUCAUAAACUCAUUAUAAAAAAUACUCACUAUCUCUCUAAAAUGUUUUUUCUAAGUUAUUUUUUCUUUUCCUUUAUAAUUUUUAACUCUUGGAUUAUCUAUUUGAUGAUCAAAAGGUGCUUAUGGGUUGAGUUAUGGGUUGUUUUGGUCUAAAAAGAGAGUGUUGAUGAGUGAGAUUUUGAAUUAAAGGUUGAAUGAGUUUAAAUGGGUUUCUAAUUUUGUCCUAUGGCCACUUAUAACUUGUUUGUAAUUUAAAUAGGAGAAAUUUGCAUUAGAAUUGAGUUGUUGCAAUUAGAGUUUGUAUUUGUAUAGUUUCGUUCAAUUAAAGAGGUUUUAACUAGUGAAGUUUCAGUAAUAAGUAUGGGUUAGUCAACGAGGCUUGAGCGCUAGAAAUCCGAGAGGUCUAAUUCUAGCGCUCAACGCCAGUUUGCAUUUCUAGCGCUCAAGCACCAAAAUUGUGAGCAGAAUGGUGUUCAUAGGAAUGGGUACUUCAACGCCAGUUUGCAUGGUUUUCUAUUCAUUUAGCUUUUUUGGUUUCUUCUAAACAUGAAUGUGUAUCUUAUGAGACAUUAUCAUCGGUUUAAGGUUAAUGCAUGUUUCAAAGUGUGCUGUGGAUAUGAAUAUAGGAAAUUUAUGUAUCAAAAUUAUCAUUUUUGUAUGGACUUAUCUAUACAUAAAGCACGUGACGAGAUGUGAUAUUGAUGAGAUCAAACAGGCAAAAACAAAUUUAUAAAUAAUUGUCCUCUCUCUUGCCACUGAUAUUGAAAGCUACCACACCAUCCUAUACCCAAAGUUUUAAUUUACAUAUAUAACUGCAGAAUUCUGUAUGAAAAAUACUGUUAAUUGGAAAUAAAUUUGUAUGCUUCAUUGUAUAUGACUUUAUGAAUGUAAAACUAAGAAAAAACUGACCAUCAACAUAAUAAUAUUUUGUAUAUUUUCCCAGAAAUUAAAUAAAUAAUGAUGUUAAUCUUCUCAUGGAAAUGAGAGACCUAUAUAUAAAUCUUGCUGUAUUUUCUCACGUGUUUGGGACCAGCAUUCAAUUUUUGUCCGGUUGUUUCCUUUGUGAUAAGAUUGUAAUGAAAUCGAACUACGAAUUCUAAGACGUGAUAACAUUUUUUUGUGGUCCAAUUUCUUAGCUUUUUAAGUACCUUAACCCUCCUAGUCUCAAUAAUUCAACCUUUUUACUUUUACCUAUCUGCAUAAAAUAUAAUAUAGAUAUAUAUAUAUAUAUAUAUAUAUAUAUAUAUAUAUAUAAUAUAAUAAAUAUAGAGAGAAUGUUUAACCAUUUCUCUUUUCAAACACAUUAUUACUUAUCCAUCAGAAAUAUCAUACAAAACCAAAAUUAUACAUAUAAGAAUAUUCUUAGAAAUGUUUGGUAAUUUUGUUUGUAAAUCUUUGAGCUAUAUCUGUUUUUUGAUAGUUCAUUUUGUAGUAUCUUUUAAAUUUAUAUUUUUUAUUAACACCUAUAAAUAAAUACAUUUUCGUAUUUGACUUGGUUAAACAAGGAAAUUUAAGUUUUUACUUCUAUCUCUCACCUUUUUCUUCUACCACUUUCACUUCUGACCUUUUCUCACAAUAGAAAAGGAAUUACAAAGUAAAAUUGAUCUUACUCUGCAUUCCGUACUAUUUAAUCUGGAUAAAAUUUGUUUAAAUAUGUUUUAUGUUUUUUCUUAAAAAAAGUUCUUCUUCCUCCUCCAAAAUAGUGUCUUAAGAAAGUUAUAAAAAGUGAUUUCAUAAGUUUUUACUGCAUUAGAAUUCACAAAUGUUGUUCAUUUGAAAGGUACGUGGAGAUGGACGUGGCAAUAAAAGAAAGCGAACACGUUUUUCACAUAAAUAUUUAGUUUUACGUACUAUCAACAACAAGGUCCCAAACAUUCCACUACUUCUCGUACAUUUUCAGUCGUUUGUAUAUCAACGAAGGUGAUAACAAGAACCACAAUACGUGAAAUCAUUAGAAGUCUCGAAAAAAAAAAAAUUGACACAUUUAAAUUUUUUACAUUCAUUUAACAUUAUUUUUAUUUUUUUACAUUCUUUUUUAAAUAAUACAAAAAAUUACAUUUUUAUAAUCAUUUUACUCAUAUAAUAUCUAUAUUAAAUAAAUGUAAAAAUAUGUGAUAGUACCAUUACUUGAAAAAAUUUUCAUAAACGUAAGACCAUCCUGAUAUUUUUUCUAAGACAAGCAAUUAGUAUCUUUGACAACAAUUAUUCUUUUUACGUAGAUGUUUAGAAAAGGUAGAAAUGCAAAGGACAAAAACCUUAAUUCGAGCUCCGAGUAACAAAAUAUUUACAUCAACGUUGGGACUACAUUCCCGAUACCAUUACCCAGCUACAUAUAGUAAAGUAUUUGAAUGAAUUAAUUCUAUCAUUGGAUUAGAGUAAUAUAAAUAUAUAAAUUGAUAACGUAAUUAAAAAGAGUUAAGGGAAUAUAUCGACCAAUUUAAUAUCAAUUAUUAUAAUAUCAAUUAUAAUAAUUGAUAUUUAGUACUAACAAUUAAACUAAAUAAAGAAAAAGUAAAUAUACAAAAAUUAGCUAAUAAAGACUAAUUAUUACAAUUUAAAUACUUGAUAUCCUCCUGCAAGUUGGACGAUCUGGAAGAGAGAUGCAACUUGGAUAGUAAUGAGUCAAACCGAGGAUGAAGCAUAGGCUUUGUGAGUACAUAAGCAAGCUGAUCAUCAGUAGAUACAAAGGACACUCGAAACAUGCCUUUUUGAACAUUUUCAUGAACAAAAUGAUAGGCUAAGGCUAUAUGUUUCUUCCGAGGGUGAAAAACAGGAUUAGCACUCAGAGUUGUGGCACUAAGAUUGUCACAAUAGAUAACCGGAUUGGUUGUGGGCAUGUGACCAAGUUCAGUGAACAAGGAUAGGACCCAUAGAAGUUCACUGGCCAUGUCAGUCAAGGCUUUGUAUUCUGCUUCAGUUGAGGAACGAGCAACAAAGCGUUGUUUUUGGGAGCUCCAAGAGAUGAUAGUGCUACCAAGAUACAACAAAUAACCAGUGGUAGAAAUAUAAUCAUCCUUAUCACCCGCCCAAUCUGCAUCUAAGUAAGCAUGAAAGGUUAGCGAAGUAGUUGUCGAGAUGAAGAUACCUUUGUUGCAAGAGCCCGCCAAAUAACGAAGCACCCGUUUGAGGCAGACCAAUGUGCCGUUGUGGGGUGUUGCAUGAACUGUGCAAGUUUGUUGGUGCUGAAGGCGAUGUCCGGGCGAGUAAGACUUAAGUAUUGAAGAUUUCCCACGAGUGCGCGAUACUCAGUUGGGCAAGGUAGGAGAUCACCAGAAUCCUUGAGUAAUUAAGCACUGGUGGAGAAGGGAGUGGAUGCUGAUUUUGUGUUAGCCAUGCCUGAUUUAUGGAGUAGAUCAAUGAUGUAUUUCCUUUGUGGAAGAAAUAGUCCUGUAAUGGAAGGAAUUACUUUGACGCCCAAGAAAUAGUUAAGACAACCAAGGUCUUUCAGCGAAAAUCAAGCAUCAAUGGUGGAAAUAAGGUUGGACAGCUUUGUAGAGGAACUCCCAAUGAUAAUGAUAUCAUCAACAUAUACUAAUAAAUAUAGUGUGGAACGUAAUUUUUGGUAGAUGAAGAAAGAUGCAUCUGUAGUUGAAUUGACAAAGCCAAGAGAAAGUAGAAACACUCGAAGCUCCGUAUACCAGGCGCGAGGUGCUUGCUUUAGCCCAUAGAGUGCCUUUUUGAGGCGACAAAUAUGAUCAGGGAAACUUUUGUUGACAAAACCAGGGGGCUAGAGCAUGAAAACUUCCUCUUUGAGCGUCCCUUGAAGAAAUGUAUUAUUGACAUCAAGUUGGCGAAUGGGCCAUCCUUGACGAACUGCAAGUGUGAGGACAAUGCGAGUGGUGACCGGUUUAACAACCAAUUUAACAAUGCGAGGCCAACUUUUUUUCUUUAUUUUUUAAAUUGUCCUGUUGCUUAAGAGUUCAUCAUCAGAAGAAGCUUUAACAUAUAUAAUAAGUUUUUUGUGGUAUACUUUAUGUUAUCGAGAUAGAAGGAAAUUGUCUCUAAUUGUAUUCUUGUUCUCUUUUUUAUAUCUCUAAAUUUAUUAAAGAUUAAUAAAUACUAUAAGAAAAUUGAUAUCACCAAUGGUCAAAAUUCGUCGAUAAAUUAAAAUUAUCAACGAUAAAAAUUCUAUCGAUAAGAGUCAGUAGUACAGAAAGAGCUUUAGACGUCUGUUAUUUUGGGCUUUUAACGUCACAUCCAUACACGACGUCUUUAUGGGUGACGUUAAUAGGGCGUGAGACUCUGCAGGUCUGACGUCUUUAUAGACGCCUAUUAAAUGCCAUGUCCCACGUCUAUAAAGAUGUCAGACAUGUCACUACCCGACGUCUAAGGGCACUAUAAAGACAUUGGAUAUGACACUACCCCACGUCUAAGGGCACUAUAAAGACAUCGGACAUGACACUAACUGACGUAUAAGGGCACAAUAGACGUCGGAUAUGGCUUUAACCAACGUCUACUGGGUUUUCGUUGUGUUUUAAUGGAGUUUUGCUCAUGUCUUUGGGUAGUGUAGUAGCACCUCCUCCCUUUGCUAGCUUCUUCGUAAGAAAAAAUUGUGACUUUUGCAUCUCUUAUGGCAUUUCAACCCAAAACCGAAAUUGGGUCAUUGCCUAAUUUCAUUCCAACCGUCAAAGAAAAAGAAUACAAUGGCAUGAAAACUAGGCAAGGACCCAGGUUCGGCUUUGGGUUGAAAUGUCAUAAGAGAUCCAAAAAGACGCAAACUUUUCUUACGAGGAAUCUAGCAAAGGGAGAAGGUGCACUAUGCUACCCAACGACACGAGAAAAACUGCACCAAAACACAAUGAAAACUCAUUUUAAACGUAAGUUUAAAAGGUUCAAAAGAGAUCAAACGCACUUGGAAAUGCAAUGCGCAGAGAGAAAAGGCGAAGGAAGAUGAUGAAGUGUGCGUAACUGCUAGUUCGCAAUGUCCUAUUUAACAGGAAAUCAGACGUUGGUUUCCCAGCGACUGAUGUCUAUUCUCGAAUAUAAGUCGGGGACCUCACUAAUGUGACAUCCAUUCGAUUUAAAAAUUAAUAUUCGUGGUAUAUAUAGACGUUAGGUGUAAUGGGAGCCGACGUCUGUAAUUGAAUAUGGACGUCGGGGUGGCGGGAUCAAACGUCUAGAUGGCGGAAAGAAGUGACUUUUCACCUACCUAUCAGGAAUAUAUACGUCGGUUAGGGGGUACCGACGUCUAUAAUAUUAUAGAUGUCGGUGCCCCUUCUAACCGACGUCUAUAUGACGGAAAGAAAUGACUUUUCACCUACUUGUCAGACAUAUAUACGUCAGUUAAUAGGGGCCCCGACGUCUAUAAUAUUAUAGACAUCGGGGCCCCAUCGACCCAACGUCGAUAUCCCAACUUAUUUAAGAAAAUGCCACCGGUCAAUAAUUUAAGUUGGGUUUUUUCUGGUCUGAUGUCUAUGGGUGACGUUAAAGCCUAAUUUUGCACUAGUGAGUAUUGUUGUUGAUAAAUUUGUUAACAAAUUUUUUGUUACCAACAAAUUUUUCCAUUUGUACAUUUGUUGGUAAUUAUCAAUGAAUUUUUACGUCGAUGAAUUUGUCAGUAAUUAUUGGCAAAAAAAUUCGUAGGUAUUCCGUUGGUAAUUAUCGAUAAAGAAAUUUGUUGAUAAAAUCUGUUGGUAAUUAUUGAUGAAAUUUUUCGUUGGUAAAUAUUACAAUCUAGUUCAUCAUCUUCCUCGCUCUCCCUCUUCUUCUUCUUUCUUUCAAUUUUAUCAAUUCAGAAAAAUGAACACAUUCCAAACAAAAUAUGAAUCCUUCACUACAAGCUUUGAUAAAAUUUUGGGAAAAAAAUUAUGAAAGUUCAUGUCAAACAGCAGCUUUGCCGAUGGUGGAAAACGUUGGCUUUGGUCAAGAUUAGAGUGGACAAUAACUGCAUUGCCUGAUGAUGGUAGUGCUUGGAGUGAAAAAGAGGAAGAAAAGAGAUAUUGGUCCUCCCAUGCGCGUGUUAGAGAAGAAGAAAAUGAAGUGGAAGACCUUAAUGACGUCGGUGUAGGUAGAGACGAUGACCUGGUUGGAUAGAGAUGGAGACAUGUCAAAGGAGUUUGUAGCUACGGUGACUUGAGCUAAAUGGAGAAGUGGAGGAAUACAAAUGCUCCAUCGUGCAACAAAAAUGAAGACAUGUAAGAAAGAGCGAAAUAAAUAAUUCUCUCCCGGACAAAGGGAAAAAAUGGGCAAAAAUUCAUAUUUUGUCAGUAAUUCAUAUUUCAUUUAUUGUCUAUUGGUAAAUAAAAAAAAUAGAAGGGAAAAUUUUGGUUCUUUUUACCGAUAAAGUUUUCUAUGGAUAAUAUAUUUCUCAUUUAGUGUCAGAUUUUAUUGAAAAAUUUUUCAAUAGGUAAGAGAAAUAUACGUUAACGACAUGAAUUCAUCGGUAAAAUUUGUCUCUAAUUCGAAUUUACUGACCAAUUUGUUUUCUUCAAUAAAAUUCAACAGGUAAUUUCAAGAAUUUUUGUAGUAAAAAUAAUUCAAAUAUAAAAAAGAAAAUUAUAAAACUUAUUGUUCAUAAAUAUUAAGUUAAAGAUAAUAUCUUUACCUCUUAUAAAGUUUUAAUUGUGGCUAUUUUUUAAAGUACUUUUCUCACAAAACCGCACUUUUAGAAUUAAGCACCUAUACAUUCACAAUCUUUGCUGAACCCAACACCACACUUUUAGAAUUAAGCAUACAAAUUACAUAAAGAUAGGAAAGAAACAAUCACUUACAGAAAAGGAAAACGAACAUCCAGACUUGUAACAUUAGGAAAAGAUCCUAUAAUCCUAAUGUUACAUAUUAAAGAGAAAGAAACACACUUUGGCAAUGAAAACCUUAUUUGCAACAUAUUAUGACAUUUUUGGUGAUUCAUGAUAGUGAAUCCCUUCAUUCGGUGACUGGCAAAAUGCCUUUAAGGGGUGGCCAACCUUCAACGAUAGGAGUCACAGCACUCACAAGUGUGUCAUUAGUUUCAUGUGGGGUGACUUUCAUACGCACAUAGUGAUCUCCUUUGAAAAGGUAAACUUCAUUCUCCAAAUGAGAAGAAAAACACGCAUCAAUUCCAUUUUCAAAGAUCGUACCUUUCAAAACAGGGAACCCUUCGGUGAUGUCAAGAAUGUCGAUAAUACGCUUAUUGGUAUCAUAAGUAAUGCGAGUAUACUUCGCUCCCUUGAAUAUGUAAACUUCUUUCCCUAUGCUUGACCUAAAUGCACCGUCCACGCCCUCAGCAAACACCGUGUUUGUUAGGUCGGGAAACAUUUCAGCGAUUGUGAUAGGACCUACGAGGAUCCUGUCGUUUCCUGUGUUUGGAGCAUAGUCUAUGUAGGCACAGUUCUUGUCUGAGAAGAUAUAUGCUUCACUGCCUUCAGUGUUGAAGGAACAGUCUAUUCCUUGUUCUGCAAACGGCGUUCCUGCAAGUGAUGGAAAACCAGCACUAACCAAUUCAAGAGGAGUCAUAAGUUCAUCACCUAAUGCUCCGGGAGUGUAAUACAGCCUCACGUACUUGUUUUUCAUGAAGAAAUAGACUUGGAAUGGCUUUGAUGAAGGCAAUGCGGCAUCGAUAUAAACAGGGUCUGACAUUUUUCUUAACACAAGAAGAAGAAGAAGGAGUAAGAGAAAAAGAUAGAUAGAUAGAUUUAGUAUGCUUAUUUACGUUCCUCUCAGCCACCUAUUUAUACUCUUAUGAAAUCGGAUCCUCGGCCUUGUUCACUCUAUACACAUGUAGAAUUAAAAAUGAUCCUGAUAUUUUUUAUUUUAAAAAGGACAAAAUAACGGAAAAUAAUAAUAUUUUAGUUAUGUUUACAUUACUUUUUUAUUUAAAAGUGUAAUAUAAAUUAUUAUAUUAUUACAAAAAAGGGUCAAAUGAAUAUAUUUUUAAGUAGGGUGUCCAAAAACUUUUUCUUCUUGAAUGUUUAAUAAUUUUUUUAUAACAUUUAAUUACGCAAAAUAUAUAUUUUUUAAUUUUUCUUUAUUAAAAUAGUGAGAUCAACUUUAAGGUAUCAAAAUUAUCAUUUUUGUAUGAACUUAUCUGUACAUAAAGCACGUGACGAAAUGCGAUAUUGAUAAGAUCAGACAUGCAAAAACAAAUUUAAUAAUUGUCCUCUCUCUCGCCGCUUAAAUAAAUAUACCGAAAGUUUUAAUUUGCAUAUAUAGCUGCAGAAUUCUGUAUGAAAAAUACGGUGAAUUUAAAAUAAAUUUGUAUGUUUCAUAUUGUAUAUGAAUUUAUGAAUGUAAAACUAAGAAAAAACUAAUCAUCAAAGUAAUAAUAUUUUGUAUAUUUUUCAAGAAAUUAAAUAAACAAUGAUGUUAAUCUUCUCGUGGAAAUGAAAGACCUAUAUAUAAAUCUUGCUGUAUUUUCUCACGUGUUUGGGACCAACAUUCAAAUUUUGUCCGGUUGUUUCCUUUGUAAUAAGAUUGUAAUGAAAUUGAACUACGAAUUCUAAGACGUGAUAGCAUUUUUUUGUGCUCCAAUUUCUUAGCUUUUUAAGUUAAGUACCUUAACCCUCCUAGUCUCAAUAAUUCAACCUUUUUACUUUUACCUAUCUGCAUAAAAUAUAAUAUAGAUAUAUAUAAUAUAAUAUAUAUAGAGAGAAUGUUUAACCAUUUCUCUUUUCAAACACAUUAUUAUUUAUCCAUCAGAAAUAUCAUACAAAACCAAAAUUAUGUUAUAAUAUAUUGCAAAAUAAGUAAACGUUGCAUUGCAACGUUAAUAUUUGCCAACAUUAAAUUUCUUAAUUGCCAACGUUAUUUAAUAACAACGUUCAAAUAAUUUUGAAGCAAGGUUAUUAUUUUUAUGUUUUUAAUGUUUUUAAUUUCUUUUAUUUAAAUUGAUUCUUUCUUAACUAUAUAAAUAGAGAGUUUUUUCCCAUUUCAAAACACAUCAAAGUAUUUAUCUCAUUCUCCCUUUGUCUCAUUCUUUCUUCUCUUUUCCCUUUUCUAAAAAUCUGGAUUAUUUUUAUACUUUGUUUAGAGUUUCUUGCUAGUUCUAAGAUCCUCAAAAAUUUUCUGAGAAGUUCAUGUUGUAUCAUAGGGGACUUGCGUAACACGGGGACUUGCGUAACACACCAAUAGUAAGUGUGAUAUAUGUGUAGAAUCUAAAAUAACAAAGAAAACAUGUUUUUCUGUAGAAUGUCAAACUGAAACAAACCAUGUCUAUAGAGGAGGUAAAAAUUAUUUUGUGACCUUUAUAGAUGAUUUUUCUCGAUACAUCAAAGUUUACUUAAUCAAACAUAAAGAUGAAACCUUUAAUGUGUUUUUAACCUAUAAAGCAGAAGUAGAAAAUCAGCUAUAAGAAAAUUAAGAGGGUUAGAUCAGAUAGAGGUGGUGAGUAUGUGUUGUUUAAUGAAUUUUGUGUUAGAGAAGGGAUUAUCCAUGAAGUGACCCCACCAUAUUCACCCGAGUCUAAUGGAGUAGUUGAGAGGAAAAAUAGAACCCUUAAGGAAAUUAUGAAUGUUAUGCUUGUUAGUUCUAGUGCACCUGAUAACCUUUGGGGAGAAGCCUUGCUUAUAACCUUUGGGGAGAAGCCUUGCUUACUACAUGUUUUUUACAAAAUAGGAUACCCCAUACGAAAACUGGUAAAACUCCUUAUGAGUUGUGGAAAGGUUACCAACCUAACCUUAAAUAUCUAAGAGUGUGGGGGUGCCUAGCUAAGGUAAUGUUACCCGAUCCUAAGAAAAGGAAAAUAUGAUCUAAAAUUGUUGAUUGCGUGUUCUUAGGUUAUGCUGAACAUAGUGCUGCCUAUAGGUUUCUAGUUGUUAAAAGUAACAUACUUGAGAGAAAUUCUAUAAUGGAGACGAAAAAUGCUCAGUUUUUUGAACAUGUGUUUCCCUUAAAGGUUAGUGAGAUGUCUCAACCUGUUGAUGAUAAUGAUAAUAAUAAUAAUAAUAGUUAUACCAUGAAUGAGGAUUUGAGAAGAAGUAAAAGACAGAGAUAAGAAACUUCCUUUGGAGAUGACUUUUAUACUUAUCUUGUUGAUAAUGAUCCAACUAGCUUUGUAGAAGCUACUAGUGCUCCUGAUGCAAAACAUUGUGAUAAGGCCAUUAAGACUGAAAUUGAAUCAAUUUGGAAAAACAAUACUUGGACUUUAGUAGAUUUGCCUAAAGGAGCAAAACCCAUAGGUUGUAAAUGGAUCUUUAAGAAAAAAUAUCACCCUGAUGGAUCCAUAUAGAAAAAUAUAAGGCGAGAUUAGUAGCAAAAGGAUUGACUCAAAAAUCCAACAUAGAUUACUUUGAUAUUUUUGCUCUUUUGACUAGGAUUUCCUCUAUCCGAGUGUUGUUAGCUCUAACAAUUAUCCAUAAACUAGUGAUACAUCAGAUGGAUGUUAAAACAACCUUUUUGAAUGGUGAUUUAGAGGAGGAAAUUUAUAUGACUCAACCUAAAAGGUGUGUUAUACUUGGUCAAGAGGAUAAAGUUUGUAAACUCUUAAAAUCCUUGUAUGGGUUGAAACAAGCACCAAAACAAUGGCAUGAAAAACUUGAUAAUGUGUUGCUUUGUGAUGGUUUUCCACCUAAUGAUGCUGAUAAAUGUGUGUACUCUAAAUAUGAAAAUGGUGAUAGUGUCAUUAUAUGCUUGUAUGUGGAUGACAUGUUAAUAUUUGGUACAUGCAAUGAGAUUGUCGUUAGAACUAAAUUGUUUCUAGGAUCAAAAUUUGAAAUGAACGACAUGGAUGAAGCCAAUGUGUUUUAGGUUUUAGAAUCAUAAGAAAGGAAGGUAGUAUAUUACUAUCUCAAGAACAAUACGUUCAGAAACUUCUUAAGAAGUUUAGGUUUUAUGACUUAAAACUAGUGAGUACCCCUUAUGAUGCUAAUUCUAAUUUAAUGAGCUUUUCUAGACCUGAUAUUGCUUAUGCAGUAGGUAGACCGAGUAAGUACACUCAAUGUCCAAAUCAGGAACAUUGGGAUGCACUUGCUAGGCUUAUGAGAUACUUAAGAGGUUCAAUGGAUUAUGCCAUUGAAUACAGUGGAUUUCCUGUUGUACUAGAAGGAUACAGUGAUGCUAACUGGAUUUCUGAUUCAGAUGAGACAAAAUCCACUAGUGAUUAUGUAUUCACACUUGGGGGGGGGUGCGAUUACAUGGAGAUUAGCCAAGCAAACUAUUAUUGCAAGACCAACAAUGGAAUCUGAGUUUGUUGCUCUUGAGAUGGCUGGUAAUGAUGCUGAGUGGUUGAAAAACUUCUUAGCGAACAUUCCACUAGGAAUGAAACCAACCCCAUCGGUAUCAAUUCACUGUGAUUGCCAAUUGACAAUAACUAUAGCUAAAAACAAGAAUUACAAUGGAAAGAAUAGACAUAUACAAUUGAGAUACAAUUUGGUGAAGCAGCUGCUAAAGAGUUGAACCAUUUCCAUUGAUUAUGUGAAGUCAAAACGGAAUCUAGCGGAUCCUCUGACAAAACCCUUGGGAAGACAAAUGAUAUUGGAAACAUCGAGGGAAAUGAGACUUAAGCUACUUGCAGAUAAACAAGUGAUGGUAACCCAACCUUUGUGAUUGGAAGUCUUAUGAAUAAGGUUCAUAUGGGUAAAAACAAGUCACUUGUUAGUUCUGAUAGUACUAAAUUGAUUUUAAUCAAUUUUUUUCAAAAAAUAAUAAUUUAGACAACGGUUUUAGUAAAAAUCGAGACAAUAGAUCCAAUUUUUUUUGCUUUAUAGCUUCGGAUUUUUUGAGCCGAAAUCUUUCUGUCUCGAUUUUUUAAUAUCGUAACCAUUAUCAUAUUUAUUAUUGUAAAAAUUGCUAUGUAAUUUUAGCUCUUACUCUUCAUUUUUUUAUUGUUAUUGUUGUCCUUACUGUUACUUCCAUUGUCGUGAUUACCUCCUCUUCCUUUUCUCCUAGUUCUUCACUUCUUCUUUUCACAUACUUCUAUAUAGUUUUUAACAAAUAUUUCAUUAUAUUUUACAAAAAAAUUAAUGUCUAUUCUACUAAAUAAUUGUUAUAAAUUUUCAAAAACUCAACUAUUAUAAUUUUUUUAAAAGAAUUCAAACAUUAUAUAUUUACUGACAAUUUUUUUAAAAAAAUCUAUUAUUAACUUCUUCUAUCACAACAUUUUUAGAGUCUAAAAUAAGAAUUUUAAUUAUCAUUUUGUCAACAUAAUUUACCGACAAAAACAUAUUUCAAUAGUAAAAAUUUUAAAUUAUUAAUAACUUUUACUGAGAAAUUUAUUACUAAUAAAUAUUUUUAUUGAUAAUUAAAAUUCAUUUGUUGAUAAAUUCUAUUUUAUUAAUAAAUUUAUUUACCGGUAUUUGAAUGAUAGAUAAUUGAAAUAUAUAUAUAUAUAUAUAUAUAUAUAUAUAUAUAUAUAUAUAUAUAUAUAUUAUUCAACCUUUUUACUUUUACCUAUUUACAUAUAAUAUAAUAUAAAUAUAUAUAAUAUAAUAUAUAAAGAGAUAAUGUUUAACCAUUUCUCUUUUCAAACACAUUAUCCAUCAGAAAUAUCAUAACAACCCAAAAUUAUACAUAUAAGAAUAUUGUUAGAAAUAUUUAUUUACGUUCAUCUCCAGCCACCUAUUUAUACUGUUAUGAAAUCGGAUCCUCAGCUUUUUUUUUUUUCUUUUCUUUUCUUUACAUUUUGUUCAUAUACACAUGUAGAAUUCAAAAAGAUCGUAAUAUUAUUCAUAUUGAAAAAGGAUAAAUUAACGGAAAAUAAUAAUAUUUUAGUUAUGUUUACAUUAUUUUUUAUUUAAAAGCGUAAUAUAAAUUAUUAUACUAUUAAAAAAAAAGGGGUCAAAUGAAUAUAUUUUUAAGAAGGGUGUCCAAAAACUUUUUCCUCUUGAGUUGUUUAAUUAUUUUUUUAAAAUAUCUAUUUUUAUAUUUUUUUUAUUAAAAUAGUCAAAUCAAUUUUAAGGUAUCAAAAUUAUCAUUUUUGUCGGGACUUAUCUAUACAUAAAGCACGUGCGAGAUGUGAUAUUGAUAAGAUCAAACGGGCAAAAGCAAAUUUAUAAAUAAUUGUCCUUUCUCUUGCCACUGAUAGCUACCACACAGUAUUUCUUCUUAAAUAAAUAUACCCAAAGUUUUAAUUUACAUAUAUAACUGCAGAAUUCUGUAUGAAAAAUACUGUUAAUUGGAAAUAAAUUUGUAUGUUUCAUUGUAUAUGAAUUUAUGAAUGUAAAACUAAGAAAAAAAUGACCAUCAACAUAAUAAUAUUUUGUAUAUUUUCCAAGAAAUUAAAUAAAUAAUGAUGUUAAUCUUCUCAUCGAAAUGACAGACCUAUAUAUAAAUCUUUCUGUAUUUUCUCACGUGUUUGGGACGAGCUUUCAAUUUUUGUCUGGUUGUAAUGAAAUCGAACUACGAAUUCUAAGACGUGAUAACAUUUGUUUGUGGUCCAAUUUCUUAGCUUUUUAAGUUAAGUAUGGCUCAUCGCUUAAACCUUAAACCCUCCUACUCGCAAUAAUUAUAACAUGCACAAAUAUAUAUAUAUAUAUAUAUAUAUUAAUAACAUGCAUGAAGCUAUUUAUAAUUUUACUUAUAACCUAGAUAGUUUACUUUUAUUAAUAUAUCUCCACAACAAUCUAAAAGUGUUAAUCAUGUUUAUAAUGAAUUUGAAGGAGAAUGUCAUGUAUCAAAGUAAUUAUAAAAUGAUUAAAAAAUUAGAUGAAAACUUUUAUUUAUUAAUUUUUUUCCACUAAUAAAAUUUGUAGAAAAAUAUUAUAAUUUAAUUUUUUUAUUAUUAUAUUCCAUUAUCGUUUGUUUUCAUAUUUACAUAUCAUAUUUAUUAUUGUUAUUAUGGCUAUGUGACUUGUCUUNAGCUCUUACUCAUGUUGUUGUAAUGUUGUCACUUUCAUUUUCGUGAUCACCUCCUCUUCCUUUUUUUUUCAUAAUUAUUCACUUCUUAUUUUUACAUACUUCUAUAUAGUUUUUAACAAANAUUUCAUUAUAUUUGACAAGAAAAUUGAUGUCUAUUUUAGUGACAUAAUUAUUGAUAAAUUUUUAAAAACUUAACCAAAGUAAUAAAGNGUCUAUGACCUCGGUUAAACAGGCAAUUGUUGCCAUAAGAUCUGUGUACAUGACAAGUAAAGACUUUUCAUUUGUCAAAAAUAUUUGUACAGAGUUCUUGGCCCUGGUUGUUUUCAAAACCGAGGUCGUAGAUCCUCUGCUCCAAUUGACAUUCUCAUUUGUAGUCUGACGAAAAUCUCUGUGCAAGGCUUCUGGCCUCGGUUGUUUUCAGAACUGAGGCCACAACUCCACUGCCAAACCCUGACAUUCCUCUUUACACUGACGUUUGAACUGACAAACUAUAUGAAAGAGGUAUACGACCUCGAUUCUGCAGACAACCGAGGUCAUAGCCCCCUUCUUUUGACCCUUUUUAAAUAAUUAAAAUAUAAUGUUUUUUGGUUUUUGGCACUGGUUUUAUUUGAACUGAGGUAAUAUGGAAAUUUUGUCUCAGUUUGGCAAGGACCCGAGAUAAAAUUGUUGAAAAAAACUGCAAAAUUGUCACUUCAAAUUAUUUUUGAGUUUUUUUCUGGGGACUUUAGGCCUUGGUUGUUUAUAGAGCUGAGGUCAUAAACCUUUUACUGCUUCGGUUUUAAUUUUAANUGAGGCAGUAUCCCUUGCCAGGGUUAAAUUUUCUUGAAAGCGAAUAGUGCCAUCUUAUGCACUGAUCCUCUGCAUUCUUUCUUUGCACUUCUCACCCCAUCGCGACUCUGUUCUUUUUUUGCAGUUCUUGACGCUAUUCUUUGUGCCACCAUUGUCAUUGUUGACGGCGUUCUUUGCUCAUUUUUCCUCGCGAACGUUUUCAUCCGAUCAAAUUUAGCUUUCGUUGCCAUGGUUAGAACCACUUUCUUCCUUUUAUUAUUUUUGCAUUUUUGGAUUGUUUUGAUACAUUUUUUUGAUUAUUUUGAUGUGUUUUUUUAUUGUUAUGGAUGAUCAGACUAACUUUUUGUUGUAUUUGUGUUUAGGUAUUGUGUUUUUGCUAUGAAAUUUGUUUCGUUCCAAAACUAGGGUAGUCAAAUCUUCUCUAUAGUUGUUUGCUUUUUCACGCCUAUUAUUGUGUUUAUUAAUUUUCUUUUGUAAAAGUUUAAUGUUUUGUAUGUUGAAUAUAUAUAAUUAUGUAUGAUCGAAUGAGAUAGGAUCAAACCUUGAAUACACAAACGAUCAAAUUGAUCAUUUAAGAUUAUUUAAAUAUUGUAGACAAUUUCAGUAUAUUUAUGUAUGAAUUGAGAUUGAAUUAAUUUGCCACGUAUUAAUGUUAAGUACGAAAGAAGGGUAAAAGAAUUUAUACAAUUUGUGCAACGUAAUGAAGGUAGAAGUGAUGAUGAAGUGAAGUUUAAAUGUCCUUGUGUCAACAGUUUGAAUGAGAGAAAAUUGAACAAACCAAAAUUAGGAAACAUCUUAUUUGUGAUGGUUUCCUAUGAUGGAUGUUAUAAAACAUGGAUAUAGCAUAACCUUAACUUUAACCUCAAACUUUUCACCACUUUCCUUUCUCAAGCUCAAACAUUGUCAAAAUGCAUAACCGUGUUGUCUUCUCAAAUUUUCCUACGCCAGUAGGCACCAACACCUUUCUUUCUUUUUAACUUAUGACAUCAUUGAUAUACAAAACCAUGUUGAUUUCUCAAGUCUUGAUACACCAGUAUUUAUUCGAAACUUCUCUUAUUUUAGCCUUUCUUGUAAAGCUUGUGAUUUCUACUCCUCUAACUCUAUUCUUACAAUUCCUUCAACUCAAAAGUAGCUUCUGAACUCCAAUAUACUUUUUGGUAAGAAUUAUCCAUAAAGUUAUAAAAUUAUUUUUACGGAUUAAAUUAAAUCCAUGAUAAUAAGUGUAUAAACUAAAUCAAACCAACAACUUUUAUUUAUUAUCAAGUGCACAAAUCACACGGUGAUAGGAAACAAACAUCGAAACGAAACACAAACAUUAAGACAUGUUACAUUAGGACAGGAAACAGGCAUCCAAUCCCAAUGUUAGAUUAAAGAGAAAGAAACAAACUUUGGCAAUGGAAGCCUUAUUCGUAGCAUAUUAUAACACCAUUUAUUGAGAUGAGGCUCACGAGAAUGAAGGCUUGUUUAGUUCACAGGCAAAAUGCCAUUAAGAACAGACCAACCAUCAAGGAUAAGCUUGAUAUCACCGAUAAGAGUGUCAUCAUAUGUACCUGGGCUGAAUUUGAAACGCACAUACUUGUCUCCUUUGAAAAGGUAAGCUUCAGACUCCUUAUGAGAAGCAAAACACGCAUCGAUUCCACUUUCAAAGAUGGUACCAUUCAGAACAGGAAAGCCAUCAGCGAUGUUGCGAAUGCUGCCAACAAGCUGCUUGGAAUCAUAGUCUAUGCGAACAUACUUAGUGCCCUUGAAUAAGUAAACUUCUUUUCCUAUGGUGGAUCUAAGUGCAGAGUCUAUGCCAUCCGCAAACACCGUGUUUCUGAGGACAGGAAACAUUUGAGCAAUAGUGGUAGGACCUGCGAGUAUCUUGUCAUUAUGUGUACCUGGAGCAUAGUCUAUGUAGGCACAGAUGUUGCCGGAGAACACGUAUGCUUCACUCGCUUCAGUGUCAAAGGAAGCGUCUAUUCCAGGUUCUGCAAAUGGUGUUCCUGCAAGUGAUGGAAAACCACUACUAAUCAAGGUGAGAUUAGUUAAAAUCUCAUCAUAUCCUCCGGGAGUGUAUUUCAAGCGCACAUACUUGUUCUUGGCGAAGAAAUACACUUCAUAUUCUCUUGAUGAACGAAGUGCAGCAUUGAUAUAAGGGUCUGACAUCUUUCUCGACAAAAGAAGAGGAAGUAAUUGUAUAGAGAGAUAUGAUUUAAGGAUGCUUACAUUCCUCUCCGAUACACCUAUUUAUACUGUUGUGGAGUGGGAAUUUCUUUACUUGCCAUUACUUUAAUUUUGUCUAUUUUCUAAUACUUUAAUUAAUUAAAUAAUUUAUUAUAAUAUCUUAGCUGAAUAUAAUUAAUUAAAUAAUUUAUUAUAAUACUUUAAUUAAUUCGUUGCCCACUUAACAGAAGGCCAUGACAAGAAUUAAACGGAGAAUAUAUUGCAGAUAAUUUUGAAGAUAAUGAUAUAUAGACAACAUUUUUUUGACAACAUUUGAACAUUGAUUACGUGUCAAUUUGUGAUUGGUCAAAAAUUACUCCACAAUCACAAUCAUAAAUUGGAUAAUAACAAUAGUGUUUAUGAUUAUUAUUAUUGAUUGUGGAGUAAUUUUUGACCAAUCACAAAUUGACACGUAAUCAAUGUUCAAAUGUUGUUAAAAAAAUGUUGUCUAAAUAUCAUUAUCCAAUUUUGAAAGUGAUGGCGGGCUUAUGAAAACAAAUGUACGAUGUGAUUCUGUUAAUUGUUAAUUCCACUCGCACGUUGUCGUAAAGAAACAUAAAUGAUGGAGAAUGAGGAUGCAACAUUGUAUGGACGUAUCUGUACAUAAAGCACGUGACGAGAUGUGAUAUUGAUAAAAUCAAAUAGGCAAAAGCAAAUUUAAUAAUUGUCCUCUCUCUUGCCACUGAUAUUGAAAGCUACCACACCAUCCUAUACCCAAAGUUUUAAUUUACAUAUAUAACUGCAGAAUUAUCUAUAAAAAUACGAUUAAUUGGAAAUAAAUUUGCAUGCUUCAUUGUAUAUGAAUUUAUGAAUGUAAAACUAAGAAAAAACUGACCAUCAACAUAAUAAUAUUUUGUAUAUUUUCCAAGAAAUUAAAUAAAUAAUGAUGUUAAUCUUCUCAUCGAAAUGACAGACCUAUAUAUAUAAAUCUUGCUGUAUUUUCUCACGUGUUUGGGAACAGCUUUCAAUUUUUGUCCGGUUGUUUGUGGUCCAAUUUCUUAGCUUUUUAAGUUAAGUAUCGCUCAUCCUUUGAACCUUAACCCCUCCUAGUCUCAAUAAUUAUAACAUGCACAAAAGUUUUAUAUAUAUAUAUAUAUAUAUAUAUAUAUAUAUAUAUAUAUAUAUAUUAUAAUAAUAAUAACAUAAAUGAAGCUAUUUAUAAUUUUACUUAUAACCUAGAUAAUUUACUUUUAUUAAUAUCUCCACAACAAUCUAAAAGUGUUAAUCAUGUUUAUCAUAAAUUUGAAGGAGAAUGUCAUGUAUAAAAGUAAUUAAAAAAUGAUCUAAAAAUUAGAUGAAAACUUUUAUUUAUUAAUUUUUUUCUACUAAUAAAAUUUGUAGAAAAAUAUUAUAAUUUAUUUAUUUUUUCAUUAUCUUCCAUUGUCGUAUGUUCUCAGGUUUACUUUAUUAUUGUUAUUAUCGCCAUGUGGCGUGUCUUUAGCUCUUACUCAUCUUUUUUCAUUGUUGUUGUACUGUUGUCACUUUCAUUUUCGUGGUCACUCCUCUUCUUUUUCUCAUAAUUCUUCACUUCUUAUUUUCACAUACCUCUAUAUAGUUAUUAACAAAUAUUUUUAUUGAUAAUUAGUACUUCUUUUUGGAUAAUGUUUAUCUAUCUUCUCUGCAUUCCGUACUAUUUAAUCUGUAUAAAAUUUGUUUAAAUAUGUUUUAUGUUUUUUCUUAAAAAAAGUUUUUCUUCCUCCUCCAAAAUAGUGUCUUAAGAAAGUUAUAAAAAGUGAUCUCAUAAGUUUUGACUGCAUUUACACAAAUGUUCAUUUGAAAGGUACGUGGCAAUAAAAGAAAGUGAACACCUUUUUCACAUAAAUAUUUAGUUUUACGUACUAUCAACAACAAGGUGGUCCCAAACGUUCCACUACUUCUCAUACUUUUUCAUUCGAUUAUUGUUCUUGUAUAUUAAUGAAGGUGACAACAAGAAGCACAACACGUAAUUAUUGGCAGUAGACCUGUCAAAUAACUCCUUAUAAUAGGUCUUGGUUCUAGGUCAUGUGGAUUGGGGUCAAAAAAACCCUUAGGGCCAAAAAAGCUCUUUAUUAAAAAAGUUUUGAGGGUUAAAAAACUUCAAAGUCCUGUAGGUUAGGGUCAGCUCAUGGAUUUUCUUUUUUACAAAAAAAAAUAAAUAUCCAACAAUAAAUUGCAUUUUUCUAGAAAAAAAGAACAUUUAUGUUAAGUGUUAUAACUUGAAAAAUACAUGUAAGCAUACAUGUAAGCAUCUUUCUUUUACUUUAAUAAAUAUUUUUACAUAAUUAUUAAUUAGAAAAUAAUAAAUAGGAUUUCAUAUUUUUCAUCCCUAAAUUUGACGUUAAAUUGAAAUUAGUGUAUAUUAUAACCUUUCAAAAAUNNNNNNNNNNNNNNNNNNNNNNNNNNNNNNNNNNNNNNNNNNNNNNNNNNNNNNNNNNNNNNNNNNNNNNNNNNNNNNNNNNNNNNNNNNNNNNNNNNNNNNNNNNNNNNNNNNNNNNNNNNNNNNNNNNNNNNNNNNNNNNNNNNNNNNNNNNNNNNNNNNNNNNNNNNNNNNNNNNNNNNNNNNNNNNNNNNNNNNNNNNNNNNNNNNNNNNNNNNNNNNNNNNNNNNNNNNNNNNNNNNNNNNNNNNNNNNNNNNNNNNNNNNNNNNNNNNNNNNNNNNNNNNNNNNNNNNNNNNNNNNNNNNNNNNNNNNNNNNNNNNNNNNNNNNNNNNNNNNNNNNNNNNNNNNNNNNNNNNNNNNNNNNNNNNNNNNNNNNNNNNNNNNNNNNNNNNNNNNNNNNNNNNNNNNNNNNNNNNNNNNNNNNNNNNNNNNNNNNNNNNNNNNNNNNNNNNNNNNNNNNNNNNNNNNNNNNNNNNNNNNNNNNNNNNNNNNNNNNNNNNNNNNNNNNAAGUUUUGGAGUGAGACUAAAAUUUAAUUAAAGUUUUGGAGUGGGACUAAACCCACUUUAACCCUGACCCUAACCCACUUGAGAGGGGGUUUUGGGGAUUUGGACUUUUUUCUGACCCCCUACUUAAGAGGCUUCUUAAAAUAGGGUUUUUUCAAUAGUGGAUUAGAAUGAUCCUGAGCCAUGGGUUAAACUAACACCUCUAGCCACAAAAAAGAAAUUUAAUUUUGCANAUAUUUUUUCUAACACAAGCAAUUAGUAUCUUUAACAACAAUUAUUCUUUUUAUGUAAAUGUUUAGAAAAGGAAGAAAUGCAAAAGGACAAAAACCUUAAUUCGAGCUCAGAGUAACAAAAUAUUUACAUCAACCUUGGGGCUACAUUCCCGAUAGCAUUACCCAGGGGGCACCAAGCCAAGGAUAAGAUCAAGAAAUCUAUAAAUUAAAUAUUCCAUGAAUGUAUGCAAACAGAGAGCUAAAACUUCUGAAAUAAAUGACCCNAAAACAAACAAUCCAAGAGUCUAAAACAGAGAGCCAAAAGAUAUUGCAAACAUUUUGAAAUAAGUCUAAAAUAUUUCCAUCAGGUUUUUCAUUCUGCAUUUCUUCAUUAACAACAAUCGCAUCAUUCUUCGAAUGUUUACUAUAAUUUUAACCUACUAGAAUCAUGUGUUAGAAUUUAUUUGAUAUAAUGUGUUAUGUAUUAUGAAGAUAUUUGUUUUUUUUUUAUCUAUUGUGAUCAGAUCACCGUCUAAUUUCAUAUUCAAUAUAUAUAUAUAUAUAUGGGGUUUGUUAACACGCGUACGCCUGUUUUUCAGUUGGUACGUUUUAACAAUGUGUACCGGAUUAUAAUAGACAAAAAUAUCCUCAUUUAUCAUGGAUUCUAAGUUUUAAAGUAAAGGAUAUUUAAAUAAUUUUCAUUCUCAAAACUAAAAAAAAAAAACACGAAACCCCCAAACUCUUACUCACCUCCCUCAUUCCUCUCAACCCUUUCUCUUUCAUCUUUCUCACUCCAAUAUUUUCUCUGUCAUUCCUAUUUCCUAUUGCUCGAAUUGAAAAAAAAAUCAUAACUUUUUCCUUUCUCUGUUGGUAUGGGAUACAUGAUGUAAGAUUACAACCUAGAAUUGAAAGAAUUGUACUCCUAGGAAAUUCUUCUAUAUCAAUUUCUUUAAUUCCCUUAUGUUCCUUUUUUAUCACUGAAUCAACUUCUACAGGCGUUUAGAAUAAACUUUAACCACUGUGCAAGAUAAAAACUAGUAAAAUCAUUUUUUAUCUUUGAGAUUUGGGAAGAGUAACAUAAAAUGACAAAUUUUAUAUUCAUUUUACACACAUUAAUAAAUAUAAAAUGAUUAUAAAAGAGUAAACUUUUUCAAUUUUUAAAAAAUAUCUCUGAUUCAAAUUGCUACCACCAUCUUCAAUUGGGUUGAGAUAAGAGAAAAAAUGUUGGAAUGAUGACAGAGAAAAUGUUGAGAUGAGAGAGAAAAUAUCUCUGAUGACAAAGGGUUUCUGAUUUUUUUUUAAUUGGGGCAACAGUAGGGAUGACAGAGAAAAUGUUAGAAUGAGAAAGAUGACAGAGAGAUGAGAGAGAAAGGGUUGAGAGGAAUGAGGGAGGUGAGUAAGGGUUUCAGGGUUUCUUUUUUUUUUUUUUUAGUUUUGAGAAUGAAAAUUAUUUAAAUAUCUUUGACCUUAAAACUUGAAUCCAUGAUAAAUGAGGGUACUUUUGUCUACUAUAAUCCGGUACACAUUGUUAAAACGUACCAACUGAAAAACAGGCGUACGCGUGUUAACAAACCCCUAUAUAUAUAUAUAUAUAUUUCAACACGAGAAUAUGAUGAAAGUAAUAUAUGUUAAAAGUUUUACAUUAACUAAAAAUAAAGACAUGUCAUAAUAUGUAAACGAUUACAAAUUUUAGUUUACAAACUAAUUUUAUAAAAUUAAAUUAAAUUUAAAAUUUAUUUUCUACCAUUUACAUGAUUAAAAAUAAAGUUUAUCAUUUCUAACCGUAAUUGAUAAUUGAUGAUUUUAUUUAAUUCAAUCACGAUUACCAUUUAUAAACUUUCUUAAAUAGUAGUCUUUAAAACAUUAUCACUCCUCCAAAAUCUACUUUAUUUAUUUGUACCAUUUAGCCAUCGAAAGAUAAUACAGUUAUAAAAUAUGGUUAUGGAGACUUUCCCUCUUUGUAGCAAAUUAUUAGAGUCAUCUGUACUAAAAGUUACUUUUUGAUGAUAAUUAUCUAUUUUAAGGAUUAAGUUAAAUCUAUAAUAAGGUUUAAUUAUUUAGAACAUUUUUAUUUUUGUAGGGUUUUCUCAAUUAGGUCCUCGUAUUGUAAAAUCUCUUAAUUAGGUCACUAAUUGUGAAAAAUUGGAUCAAUUUAGUGUUUACUGUUAAAUUGAGUGGAUGACGUUAAAAAUUGAUGUAUGUGGCAGGGUCACAUUAGCAGGUUUUAUUGAUGUGGCAGAUUAUAGUGAAGUGAGUUGGAUUUGUUUUAUUUAAAAAUUAAUUUUUCUUCAAAUAAAAUGAUUGAAAACGCAGUAUUUAAAUAAAAUACAAUUACUAAAUGAAACUGCAUUGUCUUCUUCCUUGGGUGUCCUCUUCCUGAAAAUGCAUUGUCUUCUUUUUUGGGUGUCCUCCUGCUAGGGAUUUGGAAGAUACAGCGAUUUCACGUAGAUCAUUCAAAAAUAUUUUAUCUUUUCUGUCAAUCAGCCACAGGCAACCAGUGCCUCAUUUUCAUUUAUCCAAUACAACAUAAGAGGUUUAUAAAUUCCAGAAUCUUCAAAUCUUAAACAGUUCAUCCUCUUUUGUUGGGUAAUCUGAUUACCUUGGAAAGUCCAUUCCAAAGAAAUGAGAAGCCCAACCAGAUAGAGAAAAUUAGAAUUAGAGGACUCCCAAGCUAAAAAGAAUGCACCUUUGAUCACCAUCUCCUCAACAGAAAUAUGCCUUUGGAGGCCAAUAAGUGAAAUUUGGGUACAAGCGUUCAAGAAAUUAGGAACAAAGUACACACAUCUCAUUACACAUUUUUAACACUUAAUUAAGAAAUCAGGAAUAAAGUAUACGAAUUUACUCUUCCCAAUUCCCCUGAACCACUGCCACAGUGUGAUGGAUCAAUGUUCAAUUUCUGAUUCAAUUCCAAACCCUAACCAUAUCAAUUGCAUUGCCCUCUUUUCCCCCCUUCAAUGGCCAAUGUCUCUCAGUGAUAGCUCCUCUACAACCGCAACCCGAGCUCUACCCUAUGCUGUGGAAGCACGUCAACCUCGUCUGCACCAAAGUCGUCGUUGCGCCUUCGACGGCUCAGUCGUCGUCAUCUGUUGUGGGGUUGCGCGUUUUGGGGAUGUUGAAGUUUUGUUAGGCAUGGACAAUGUUGUGGUAGGAGGUUGGCGUGCAGAGGCUGGGGGAGGGAGUUUUGUGUGGACCGUUGCAGAAGAUGGUGGUUUCUCACGAGACUGUUAGCGGAGGCGGAGUUGGAGCAGCAAUAGUUGAGAAGGUGCUAAAGGUGUGUGGUUACAAAGAUUGGGUUUAAUUAUUUUAUCAGAAGUCAUAGUAUAAAUUAGGUUUAAUUAUUUAAAACUUGAAAUAAAAUAAAUUACACCUAAGAUGAACACGUACCACGUUAUUAAAAUUUGCUUGAUCAAUAUGUCAUGAUUUAUUAAAUUUAUCACCGUCUGCUGAAUUUAACGACAAAACUUUAAUUGACUCAAUUUUACAAAAAUAAUAACCUAAUUGAGAUAAAAACAAAAUACGAAAACCUAAUCGAGAAAACCUACAGAAAGGGAUGUUCUAAAUGAUUAUGGAGACUUUCCCUCUUUGUAGCAAAUGAUUAAAGUCAUCUGUAAUAAAAGUUACUUUUUGAUGAUAAUUAUCUAUGAAGUCAUACAAAUUAUUUUAAGGAUUAAGUUAAAUCUAUAAUAAUUAUCAAACCAAACCAAACCCACUUUAUUUAUUAAGUGUAGAAUUUACAUGAAGAUAGCAGAGAAACAUCGUACAGUAAAGGAAACACAAACAUUUGUUACAUUAGGACAGGAAACAGGCAUCCAAUCCCAAUGUUAGAUUAAAGAGAAAGAAACAAGCGUUGGCAAUGGAAGCCUAAUUCGUAGCAUAUUUUGACACCAUUUAUUCAUAUGAGGCUAAGUGGUUGAUAACGAUGACGAAAAUGACAGCUUUCGUAGGCCUAACAUCACCCACAUUCCUUCACUUAACUCUCCCAAAAAAACAUAUUUUGGAGUUGAACGCAUCUUAACAGUGAACUCAAUCCGCUUCCUUUCCGGAAUCAAACCUCUGAGACUGGGCCAUCCUUCAAGGAUAGGCUUGAUAUAACCCACAAAAGUGUCAUCAGUUGAACCUGGGGCGAGUUUGAUACGCACGUAGUUCUCUCCUUUGAAAAGGUAAAUUCAGGCUCCUUAUAUAUGAGAAGUAAAAUAUGUGAUGGAAGUCUCACAUCAAUUAGAGAUAAGACCACUUUAUAAUAUAUAAGUGAGGUACAGACCUCACCUUAGAAGCCAGAGUAUCCUGAGAGUAUCCUGUCAUUUAUUGUACCUGGAGCAUAGUCUAUGUAAACACAGAGGUUGCCGGAGAACACAUAUGCUUCACUUGCUUCAGUAUCAAAGGAACAGUCUAUUCCAUGUUCUGGCGUUCCUGCAAGUGAUGGAAAACCACUACUAAUCAAGCUCAGAUUAGUUAAAAUAUUAUCAUCAUCUGAUUUCCCAGGAGUGUAGUGCAACCGCACAUACUUAUUCUCCAUGAAGAAAUACACUUGAUUUUCUCUUGAUGAACGAAAAGGAGCAUUGAUAUAAGGGUUCGACAUCUUUCUUAACAAAACAAGAGGAAGUAAAAUAGAUAGAUAUGAGCUACGCAAGAGGACCAUCACAACCUUCUUUAGUCUCAAUAUAUAUGAUUUUAUUUAAUUUUUAUAAUAUCAAUACUCUUCUUGUUUAUCAAAAAAAAAAAUGCCAACACUAUUUAAAAACUAAUAUUAAAUAAAUAUAAAUUAUAAGGUAUUUCUUAUUUCUUAUGUAGUACAUCUAAUUAACAGUAAAAGAUAGUAAAUCGUCAUCAACUAACGCCCUUUCUGCUUUAAAAAAACAUCAAAUAAGGUAAAAAAGAAUAAAGAAAAAGAAAUCCAAAAUUUAUACCUGGAAACAAUGUUGCAUCCUCAUUAUCCAUCAUAUAUGUUUCUUUACGACAACUGUGCGAGUGGAAUUAAUAACAGACACACGUACAUUCGUUUUCAUAAGUCCAAGAUCACUUUCAACGUUAUCUGCAAUAUAUAUUCUCCAUUUAGUUUUUGUCAUGGCCUUCGGUUCAAGUGGGGAACCAAAAGGAGACCUACACUUUUUUUCUUCAAUUUCCUACCAAUUCUUCGUUUAUAUUCUUUACCAAUUGGACCACAAUAUUCUUUGCGUUAGAUCAGAAUAUAUAUAUAUAUAUACACAUUAGAAAAAUAUAUAAAAUUAAAGUAAUUCCAAGUAAGGAAAUUCCCACUCCACAACAGAAUAAAUAGGUGUAUCGGAGAGGAAUGUAAGCAUCCUUUAAUCAUAUAUCUCUAUACAAUUACUUCCUCUUCUUUUGUCGACAAAGAUGCCAGACCCUUAUAUCAAUGCUGCAUUUCGUUCAUCAAGAGAAAAUGAAGUGUAUUUCUUCGCAAAGAACAAGUAUGUGAGGUUGUAUUACACUCCCGGAGGAACUGAUAAGAUUUUAACUAAUCUGCGCUUGAUUAGUAGUGGUUUUCCAUCACUUAAAGGAACGCCAUUUGCAGAACCUGGAAUAGACUGUGCCUUUGACACUGAAGGGAGUGAAGCAUACAUGUUCUCCGGCAACAACUGUGCCUACAUAGACUAUGCUCCAGGUACAACAAAUGACAAGAUACUCGUAGGUCCGUACACAAUUGCUGAUAUGUUUCCUGCCCUCAAUAGCACGAUGUUUGCGGAUGGCAUAGACUCUGCAUUUAGAUCCACCAGAGGAAAAGAAGUUUACUUAUUCAAGCGCAAUGGGUAUGCUUGCAUAGACUAUGAUUCGAAGCAGUUUGUUGGCUCCAUUCGGAAAAUCACUGAUGGGUUUCCUGUGCUGAGAGAUACCAUCUUUGAAAAUGGAAUCGAUGCUUGUUUUGCUUUUCAUGAGGAGCCUGAAACUUACCUUUUCAAAGGAGAUAAAUAUGUGCGUAUCCAUUUUACCCCAGAUAAAACUGAUGACACUCGUCGUGUAGGUUUUAUCAGACCUAUCCUUGAUGGUUGGCCCAGUCUCAGAGGAUUAUCAGGCCCGGAUGCGUCUCCUGCUAUGCCCUCCAAACCUCCAAAUAAGUGAAGGAAUGUGGGUGAUGUCAGGCCUAUCCUCUCAGAGGCAUUGUGCCUGUCAACUACACAAUCUGUCAUUUUCGCCAUCGUCAUCAACCACCUUAGCCUCAUAUCAAUAAAAUGGUGUCAUUGCCAAAGUUUAUUUCUUUCUCUUUAAGCUAACAUUAUAGGAUUGGAUCGAUGCAUGUUUCCUGUCCUAAUGUAACAAAGAGUGCAUGUUUGUGUUUCCUUUACUGCACGAUGUUUCUCUGCUAUCUUCAUGUAAAUUCUACACUUAAUAAAUAAAGUGGGUUUGGUUUGGUUUGAUAAUUAUUAUAGAUUUAACUAAAUCCUUAAAAUAAUUUGUAUGACUUCAUAGAUAAUUCUCAUCAAAAGGUAACUUUUUAGUACACAUGACUCUAAUCAUUGCUACAAAAAAGGAUAGCCUCCAUAACCUUAUUUUAUACCUGUAUUAUGUUUCGAUGACUAAAUUGUUCAAAUAAAUAAACUAGUUUUUGGAGGAGCAAGUAAUAAUGUUUUAAAGACCACUAUAUAUGAAUUGAAUAAAAUCAUCAAUUAUCAAUUAUUAUCAUAAAUGAUAAAAUUUAUAGUCAUGUACAAUGUAAGAAAUAAGUUUUAAACUUAAUUUAUUCUCACAAAAUUAGUUUCUAAGAUGAGAUCCACUAAUGAAAAAUGACAUUUUGUGAAAUACAAAAAUGAAAUUUUAUGAUGUAGUUUUGGGCGUAAUAGUAAAUCUGCGCAUUUUAUGACGUAGUAAAAAUUUACGUCAUAAUAGUCUGAAUAUAUUAUGACGUAGUUUCUGAAAUCAGUCAUAAUAUACACGAAAGAUUAUGACGUACAUUGUUUUGUACGUCGUAACAUAUGCUUUUUUUUUAAAAUUAUUAUUACAAUUGAUAUCCAAUGAAAUUUAUAAUUACAAAUGGUACUGUUAGUUACAUGGAUCAGACAAUGCCUUGCAAAUGCUACAUGUAUUAGAAGUCAUGGAUGACUCAAACUAACUAUCUAGUCUAUCUUAUCCUUCAGUCCUUCAAUUAUUGGGUGAUCCCAAAUCAUGUACGAUGAAGGAGCCUAAUCUAUGAAGACAAUGUAUAGACAUAUACAUGUGAUUUAUUUAAUCUUAUAUCACUUAAAAUUAGUUCUAAGCCGACUGAUCUUUAUCGUCACUCUCAACGACCACCUGUGAGUAAAAAGAGGAUUAACUUCACUAAAAUUUGAUUGAUAAGUCGAAACAAUUAAAACAAUAACACUUAGCCAACGACUAUUCAAUUCAAAACCAAUUAAGAGUUGCAAUCAGAAUCUUUGACAUAACAUUCCAACACAUUAAAUUAAAGCUCUAGAAGUUAGAAAUACAGCUAUAACAACUCACAAUUCAGAUAUUGAUCUCUAACUUCUUUACCACUUAAUGCAAAGCAUUACAACCUCUGAUAUAUUCACAUAAAUUACUUAAUUUGAACCAUUUGUGCAUAAUAUUAAUUUAUGUUCUAUUAUUGAAAAGUGACACUACGACCUCAAUCAAUACCGAGAGAUUCUAAAGAAAAAAUGGUUGUACAACACAAUAUCUUAUUCAUAUUCAUCAUGCUAUCACUAUGAUUACUUUUUCAAGAAGCCAAAAGUUGAAGCUAGAUCAAGAAUGUUGGUAUAAUUAUCAAUUUCACUUUUAGCAACACCACAGAAAUAAACUCGAAAUCUAUUAGAUUUUAAUUAACGAAUAAGAUUAUAUAGCAAGAAAUGAAGAAUCACAUCAAAAAAAAGGAAGAGCUAAUGACAAUAUUAAUUGAAAAUAAAAUACUACACCAAAAACGAAGGAGACAGAGUAAACUACAACUCUUACUGUAACUUAUCUAUUCUCCUAAUUAGAAAUAAAAUACUAAAUAUUCCCAAUAAGUUAAAUGAAGGCAUAAAUAACAACUUGAACCUAGUAAAGUUUUUCAUUGUAGAACUAGGACUCAAAUAAGUGUAGAAAAUAGUAUAUUGACCAGCACAUGGAACACUAAAUAAUAAAAAAAAUCUAUGAAUACAUUAUAGAAAAAAUACCAUAACUAUUCACCUGGGCAUCACGCGGAUCAAUUUUUGUAGCUCUCCUAAUAAAGUCCUGGCCUUUAUCGGUUUGACCAAGCUGAACAUAUAUAUAUAUAUAUAUAUAUAUAUAUAUAUAUAUAUAUAUAUAUAUAUGCCCAAGCGCCUAGAAAAAAGACAAUAUAUAUCAACACAACAAUAUAAGAGAAGGAAGAAAGAACAUCCAGUGACAUAUGUUAAGCGACUCUUAUGUUGCUGCAAAAGCAUUCAAGCCGUAGAAAGAGAAAUGAUGUUAAAAAGGAAGAAAGUAAAAUUUCUUUCGAUUUGAAGAACUUACUUUCGAUGUCUCACAACUUUUCAAAGUUUGAGAGUGCCCUUUUAAAAUCUCUCAACUUUAUCUGCACUUGUCCCAGACUUGGAAACGUUAGUGAUUAAAACAGUGAAUUAGGUGAGCGAUGUUGAAGCAAUAAGCGUUUCAAAUUGAACCAAUUUUGUCAAAAUGAAGAUUUCAUAUAGGAUACCGAUGGUGGAGAAAGAUAGUUGUGGGGUAGUAAAAUAGAUUGUGAGAAUUACUAAAGUGAAAAAUCAAACACAUUAAUUUAUAAAUUAAUAUCAGAUAAUGAAAAUAACUUCUAAAUCACGCAUCAAACAAAAUCAGAAAAUUAAUGGUUGAUCGGUCGCACUAUUAUACAUCAAACAAAUCUAUCAUACAUCAUAAAAUCUAGAUUUGUAUUUGUUUAUAUACUUUGAAAUUGUUUAAACUCUAAUCAACGCGGAACUUCCUACACAUCUCAUCAUGUUAAGAUAUAUACGUUUUGAGUAUAGAACUAAACAUUAAUGGGUGUUCCAGUAAUAAAUAGAACAAUAGAUUCAACAAAAAACAAAUAUUCUAAUCAUAAGUGACAUAAUAUGUCAAACAAAUAAUAAAUUUUGUUAAAAUAAACUCUAACGCUUGACUCUAAUAUCAUAAUACAAUUACAUAUGGAUCUAUAAAACGCAUGACUUUAAAAUCAUCUCACUUAAUGACAAGUUUUCUUUUUCAAUUCCAAAAAAAAAUAACAAUCUUUUUCGAAUUCAAAUCUAAAUAAAUUUCAAUCUAAAAUGAUGUGAAAUUCUAAAGAAAAUUAAAAAAAUAUAUAUCAUACAAUCCAAAAUUAUCUUAAAUUUCAAAUAUAAUUGAAAAACAAACUCAUAAAACUAAAUUAGGUAGGUUGACGAACCAACCCAACUCACCACGGAUUCAACCCGGGUGAAUUGGGUUCAUAGUGGAUUGGACACAAAAUUAGCCCAUAUCAAAAUUUUAAUUUUUUCUUCAACUCAACCCGACUUAAACCAUAGUCAUUAGUACAAAAAUCGUAUACAACGUCGGUGUUUUUGGGCUUUUAACGACAAACUCGAGGUUGACAUCAUAUUGAGAGACGUUAAAGUAACAUCAAAUUAUAGAGGCUGACGUUAACAGUUUACAAAAAAUGUCGACCAAUACACAAAGUCGACGUCUAAUAUGUGACUAAAUACACAAUACCCAAGUGGAUGUAAAGGAUGAUUUGAUGUCCACUGAAAAGGUGGUGAGACAUAACAUUGAUGUCGAUCAUGAAGCUAUAUUCGACGUGAAUGUCGCUGAGGAGCUUGUCCAGCGGCACAUUUUUAUGGUUUUUGCAACUGGAAGGGGUUUAACGUCGAGUAUAGCUUCAAUCCGACGUCAACCUCCAUUAGUGGAAAAUAUACUUUUUAUAACGAUAUUUUAUACCUGUUAAAAUCUACCUGCUAUAAAAAGUGACGCAAUGGCAAUUUCGUAAAUAAAAUAAACUUUUCUACACCGGUUGUAAUAAAAUCAGGUAUAAAAAGUGAUGCAGUAGCAAAAUUAUAAAUAAUACAAAUAGCUUUAUACCGGUUGCAUUAAAAAUAGGUAUAGAAAAUCUUUUACUUUACAUAUUCAAUUUCACAUAUUCCUGGAGAGCUUCAUUCGUCUCCCUCGAGCUUCUUCUUCUUGAGACCACAACUUAUCAGGUUUUUCCUUUCACAUAAUCACUUCACCUUCUCCGAUCUUCAUUUCUUCUAUCGAGCUUCUUCUUCUUGAGACCACAACUUAUCAGGUUCUUCCUUUUUUCACCAUUUCAUUCGAGUUUGACCGAUUAAAACGACUUUUGAACCGAUCAAAUCCUUUCUCAUCGAUUAUUUUCAUUUUCCACUAAUUAAACCCUCAUUUGCUUCGAUCUAGUCCAUUUCUACCGAUUAAUCACUUGUUUUCACCGAUUAAUCAGUCCAAUCAAUCUCUCCUCACUAUUAAGAGCAGGAAACAUUUCAGCAAUUGUGUACGGACCUGAGAGUAUCCUGUCGUUUAUUGUACCUGGAGCAUAUAGUCUAUAGACACAGAGGUUGCCGGAGAACACAUAUGCUUCACUCGCUUCAGUGUCAAAGGAACAGUUUAUUCAAUGUUCUGCAAAUGGCGUUCCUGCAAGUGAUGGAAAACCACUACUAACCAAACGCAGAUUAGUCAAAAUCUUAUCAUCAUCUGAUUUCCCGGGAGUGUAAUGCAACCGCACAUACUUAUUCUCCAUGAAGAAAUACACUUGAUUUUCUCUUGAUGAACGAAAUGCAGCAUUGAUAUAAGGGUUCGACAUCUUUCUUAAUAAAACAAGAGGAAGUAAGAUAGGAAGAUAGCUUACAAGAGAGAUAUAUGAUUUGAUUUGAGGAUGCUUACAUUCCUCUGCCAGCCACCUAUUUAUAAUGUACAUGAAUGGGAAUUUCUUUACUUGAUAUUAAUUUAAUUUUAUGUUAUACUUACUUUUUCUAUUUUUCUAACUCAUUAAUUAAUUAAAUAAUUUAUUAUAGUAUCUUAGCUGAAUAUGUGAAAUAAAAUAUUCAAAUGUAUAAAAUAAUAGAUUCAUUCUUAUCUAACUAAAAGAAUAUUGUAUUCGAUUUGGUUAAGAAUAUAAACGAAUUCAAGAACAAUCCUUUUUUCUCCCCAUUUGAACUCAAUGCCAAGAAAUUAAAAAGAGAAUAUAGUGCAGAUAGAACUUCGAAAGUGAUUGUUAUAAAUACGAAUACAUGCUCUGUGUGUUGAUUCCACUCACACAGUAGUCCUAAAGAAAUAUAAAUGAUUGGAGAAUGAGGUUUAUUCAAUAAGUUUCUUGCUGAAAAUUACCAUUAUACAUGGAAGUUAGUCUUGCCUUUACUUAUCUUUGCUUGAAGAAGAAUCUUGACAACUUGGGAGGCCUAGAUCGACAACUACAACAAAAAAACAAAGGAGAACCAAGAGAAUUGAACGGAAUAAGUAAAAAAAAAAAUUCUUUUUGACAAUUAUUUUUUCAAUUAUUUUUUUAAAACUAAAUUGAAACUGAUCAAUAAAAUGAUGACAAAUAUUCUGUAUCAAAAUGUUGUAAAAAAAUAUUAUUAAAAUAUCAACAUCCAUAAGUAAAGCAUGAGAGUAACUACAUUAGGUUUAACCUAUGUAACUGUGAUGGGAAAUGUUCAUCUUCAUAUCUUCAUCUUCGCAUAAUGUGUGUUUGACUUUCUACAUCAUUAGCAUCAAUAUUUAAGUUUUAACUGAUGUUAUGAUGUCUACAUAAUAAAAUUUAUUUGUUUUAGCAGAGAAUGUCUUAAUUAUUGAAGGGUGAAUAUUGUAUGCUUAUUUAUAUAUCUUUGCUGACAAAAAUAAAGAGGGGCUAUUGAAGGAGUAUUAAUAUAAUUUGUUUAUUUAUUUAACCAAGCUUAGAGAGAGAGAGAAAAAGAAUAGUUAUUCAAGUUUAAUAGGUUCUUUUAAAUUUAAAUUCUGAAUGCUAAAUUGUGUUGCAUAUUUAGGAAGAGAGUUUAUCAUUCAUAAUGGAUGAUUUUAUUCAAUUCAAUCACAAUUGCCUUUCAUUCUUUGAAAAAUUUAUUUGCUCCUCGAAAAACUAGUUUAUUUAUUUUACCCUUUAGAUAUCAAAAGAUAAUGCAGUUAUAAAAUAAAAUUAUGGAGACUUUCCUCUUGUAGCAAAGAUUAGAGUCAACUUUACCAAAAAUUAAUUUUUUGAUAAGAAUUAUCCAUAAAGUUAUAAAAAUUAUCUUUAUGGAUUAAAUUGAAUCUAUAAUAAUCAUUGUAUACACCAAAUCAAACCAGCCACUUUUAUUUAUUAUUAAGUGCACAAAUUACACGGUGUUACAGGAAACAGGCAUCCAAUCCCAAUGUUAGAUUAAAGAGAAAGAUACAAACUUUGGCAAUAAAAUGUUAUUUAGUUGACUAAAGAAAAACUGUUAUUUAAAUAUCAAAAAAUAUGAAUUUAUUUUUUAUUUUUUAAUAAAAAAAUAUUUUUAUUCGUGUCGAAAUGGAGUCCGUUUAAUAUUGGACCUUAUAUAGAAUCAGCUCUAACACAAUGCAAAAUGCUACAAAUUUCAGUAUUUAUAUUUAUUAAAGUUAAUAAGAGUUUAACAACUAUUUUAUAUAUUAUGAAUUCGUGUUCAUUGUUGCUGAAAAUUGUCACAACUAAUAGGAACUAUAGAUUUUUUUUUUAUCAACAAAGAAUUAAUUAAUUAAUAUAGUAGAACAUUGGGGUGUUAUAACCCUUUUACAAAAAAUAUGAUAGUCGUAUACAUUAGGGAUGCAAGAAAGCUAACAUCAUGAGUCUCAACAAAAAAUUGAACACAAUAACUAAACCAUUGCUCAUCCUGGAUACGGAAUAAAAAGUGCAGAGAGAUUAACAUCAUAAGCUUAAAAAACAAUCCAAACCAUUGCACAUCAUCAUCAAUACAAUACAAAAGAAUUGUAAAUUAUUAAUCUAGAGUUUCUUUUUCUACUUUCUAUAUAAAUCUCUCCCAUUCAUGUUUUUUAUUAUUCAUAAAUUUCAUCACAUUCACGUUAAAAUAAUGUACGUAAUUUAUUUCUUUAUGUAAAUUAGCUUAGAAAAAAGAAUAGGUAUUCAAACUUAAUAAGUUAUUUUAAGUUGAAAUUUCAUGCAAAUUAUUGAGAGAAAGAGUUUAUCUUUCAUAAUGGAUGAUUUUAUCAUAAAUACCUUUUUCAUAAAUUGUAGUCCUUGAAAUAUGAUCGCUUGUUGCUCCUCCAAAACCUAGUUUAUUUAUUCUGCUAUAUAGAAUAUGAUUACAGAGUUUCCUUUUCUAGCUAAGAUUAGAGGCAUCUUUACGUUUUGAUAAGAAUUAUUCAUAAAGUCAUGAAGAAUAAUUUUACGGAUUAAACAAAAUCUAUAACAAUAAUUCUCUUAAACUAAACCACCCAGUUUUAUUAAGUGCACAACAUGAUGAUAGGAAAGAAACAUGCAGGUACAAGAAACGAAAGACAAACAUUCAGACUUGUUACAUUAGGAAAGGAAACAUGCUUCCAAUCCUAAUGUUACAUUAAAGAGAAAGAAAACAAACGUUAGAAAUGAAACCCUUAUUGAUUGUGAGGAGGCUAAGGUGGUUGAUGCAUGAGAGUGAAGGCUUGUUUAGCUGACAGGCAAAAUGCCUCUAAGAACGGGCCAACCAUCAAGGAUAGGCCUAACAUCACCGAUAAGAGUGUCAUCAGUUUUACCUGGAGUGAAAUGGAUACGCACAUACUUGUCUCCUUUGAAAAGGUAAGCUUCAGAGUCCACAUGAGAAGCAAAACACGCAUCGAUUCCAUUUUCAAAGAUGGUACCAUUCAGAACAGGAAACCCAUCAGUGAUGUUGCUAAUGUUGCCCACCUGCUUCGAAUCAUAGUCUAAGCGAACAUACUUAUUUCCCUUGAAUAAGUAAACUUCUUUUCCUCUGGUUGAUCUAAAUGCAGAGUCUAUGCCCUCCGCAAACACCGUGUUUCUGAGGGCAGGAAACAUUUCAGCAAUUGUGGUAGGACCUACGAGUAUCUUGUCAUUUGUUGUAGCUGGAGCAUAGUCAAUGUAGGCACAGAGGUUGCCGGAGAACACAUAUGCUUCACUCGCUUCAGUGUCAAAGGAACAGUCUACUCCAGGUUCUGCAAAUGGCGUUCCUGCGAGUGAUGGAAAACCACUACUAAUCAAACGCAGAUUAGUUAAAAUCUUGUCAUCAGUUCCUCCAGGGGUGUAAUACAACCUCACAUACUUGUUCUUGGCGAAGAAAUACACUUCAUAAUCUCUUGAUGAACGAAAUGCAGCAUUGAUGUAAGGAGGGUUUGACAUUUUUCUUAACAGAAGAAGAGGGGCUAAGGUAGAUAUAAAGAGUGCAAGAGAGAUAUAUGAUUUGAUUAAGAGAUGCUUACAUUCCUCUACAUGGCCCCUAUUUAUACUGUUGGAUUGAGAAUCUUUACUUAGUAUUGGAAACUGCCACGAAUACACACGCAAAGCAAAUGACAAAUAUCAUCUAUAUAUGAUGUCAAAACAAACCAGCCUUGUAAAUGUUAUCGGUGGUGCAUGUCCUUUCUGUUGGCUUCAUCUAACUUUAUUAUUGUAAUAUUAAAUGGAAAACGUGUUGAGAUUUUUUUUAUGCUUUUAGUGGCACUUGGGGAUAAUUAACGUUAAAGCGAGGGGUAACACAACCUUAAAGUUGUCAUGACAUAGUUGUUAAAGAACAGUUUUUCAACCUUAAAAGCCACUAAAUUGAAUUGAAAGACGUAAGAAGAUGUUAUCUAACUUUUGCACGUGCUUUUGUCACUGCAUAAACAAAUGUUAUGAGCUUGUUGGUUUCUGCACUGUUAUCUCAGCUUCACUUAGACACAAACUUUCUCAAUCACAAAUUCACGUAAAUUACUCUAAACAGAAUUUUGAAAUGCUAAAACUAAAAUUAAAACAACAUUAAUAUGAAUAUAAGAAUACAGAUAAUUAUCAGUCGAAAUAUGAAGCCGCUCAAAAUUCACACUAUUUAAAGUUAGGUAGAUGAACUCCAACAUAAAUCCUAAAACAAUUAUUAAAUUUAGAGUGAGGUAAACUGAUUAUAGUUGAACGUUAACAUUUAUUAAAAUAAGGUUUAAUUAUAUUUCUUUUAACAAAAAAAUUUAUUAUUAUUUUUAUUUGUUUUAAUUUGAUUUUUACUUUUAAAAAGUUGUACAAUUAUGUUUUUUUUUUUUGUUAAAUUUGAUAAAACGACAUGUAAACAUGAUAAGAUGAUAAAUAAUUCUAAAUUCUUAUUGAUGUAUAUUAAGUCUAAUGCUCAAUAGAGUGUAUCAAUUCCAUUUUAACAUUUAUUGUUAUAGCAGAAGGUUAUGUGAAAACUUGAGUAUGAAAUUUUAAGUAAGAAAAAUCUUCACCGCAAUGCAUUUCAUAAGUUAUAUGAGAUGUUUAGAGAUGUAAGAAAUACAGAAGAAUGUCGUCAUUGGAUAAAAGAGCAUCUCUGGAACUCAUUGUUAGCACAUUGAAAUUCUUUAGACUAUCGUAAUAAAUUGUGUUAUCGUCCAAAGAAAUCAAACUUCAAAAAAGGAUGGUGUUUUAUAUAUAUAUAUAUAUAUAUAUAUAUAUAUAUAUGGUUCCAUAUUACUAUUUAUGACAUGUCAUUUAUAUGGUACAAACCUUCAUUCUUUUUCUAUCUAUUAUAUAACUUAUGCAUUUUAAAAUUGAUGUGUACAUAUAAGUUCAUAUUUUGUUAUAGGUACAAAUGAGGUAUUUUAGCAAAGUCAUUAAAAAAGGAUCUCGCCAGUUUAUUGAUGAGAAGUCUCAACGGACACAUGUAAUUCCUGAUGGAUAUUAAUUGUCGGUAAUUAGUGGAAGAUGUAUCUCUCAGUAGCUAUCAACAUAUGUAUCCCUCAAUAAUUAUCAACGAUCAAUAUCUAAUGAUAAAUGUUACUGACAAUGUUUUUACUAACAAACUUUUGCUCUUUGGUAAUCAGUAAAGAAAUAGCCAUUAUUGAUGAAAUUUUUCUGUUUUUAACAUAUACAAGUCGUCAAUAAAUCUAGCUUUUUUGUAGUAUUUUCCACUGGGAGCAUAACUAUUCAGAGAUAUAGGAAGUGUCUCCCAACUAUUUGGUGAUGAGCUAAGCAACAACAACAUCAAUAGCUCAUCUUUUAAUAUAAUAUUUAUGAUCAACUGAUUCAUGAGAUUUUGAAAACUACUGAAGUGUUUAGCUACUGAAAAAUCACCCCUGUAUUACAAGUUUCCUAGCUUCUGAAUAAGAAAUGUCUUAUUCAAGAGAUUUUUAAAUUCAAAAAACUCGUCUAAUCUCUUCCACAAGCUGUAAGUUAAAGUCUCACCUGAUACAUGAUAUAUUGAUCCAUCAAUUGUUGGAUCAGACUAAUAGUAUUUUGGAUUAUCUUCUUCUAGUCUCUAUCAGAUUUAUCUAUUAGUUUGAGACCCUGAUCCUCAAUACGAUCAUCCAAGUCUUGAUAAAAUAACAGAUCUUCCAUUUGAGAUUUUCAUAUUACAUUUGAAGAAUCCAACUUGAUAAUGAUUCGACACCAUCACUAUCUCCCAUUUGCAAAUCACGAACCAAAGCUCCUAAUCGGAGCUCAGAUACGAGUUGUUGAGAAAAUGAUAAAAAAUACUAAUAAUAAGUGGAAGCAAUAACCCUAGAUUAAAUCUUCGACCAAUAUAUAAUAUAUAAAGCACAAAAACAAAGAAGGGGAAAUUAGGAGAUACUGAUAAGUGUGAAAAAUAGUUAUUUUUACAUUUAUAAAUGAUAUUAAUCUUGUAGUUAUUUAUGUAAUUACUCAGUGAAAAGUUGUAAUAGGGAGUAGAUUGUUACGUAAAUUAUUGUUCAGGAAAAGAUGUAUAAAUUGAAUUGUUCAGGAAAAGAUGUAUAAAUUGGAAUCUGUCAGCCAAUUCUCAGAUAGCGCAAGGAAAAAUUAGCAGAGCCCACAAAAGAAAUUCGCACAUCACACAAGUACUUAUGCGUUGAAUGAAUCAGCCAAUUAAAAGAAGACAACAUUUUUAAGAUUCGCAUAGCGCACCAAAUACUAUGCACUUAGCGAAUUAAAGUAGUUUAGUGCAUGAAUUAAAAUUAAUUCGCACAACGAAUACACUCUUGUGCGUUGGGCGAAUUAAAAUAAUUAACUCCUCCCACUGUGUAUUCCAAGCUUAUUUUGUAAAACUCAAUGUGCAUAAAUACAACUGGGAGCAAAGGCCAAAUAAGUGGAGAGUUCAGGAAAAGUUUCUGCACACAAGGGUCAACUAUGAAAAUAGCAUUGAUUAUUAAGCGAACCAAUUUUUUUUAAGACUUAUUGGCCAUACAAGUGAUGUUCACCAAUUGAUUAUCACAUUUAUAUGGAACCCCAUGGCCAAGGAACAAUUAUUUUUAAAACUCAAUGUGCACAAACAGAACUGGAAGCAAAGGCCAAAUAAGUGGGGAGUUUAGGCAAGUUUCUGUACACAAGGGUCAAUUGAAAAAAUGACAUUAAUUUUUAAGUGAACCAAAUUAUUUUUAAGACUUAUUGGCCAUAAAAGUGAUCUUUAGUCAAUGAUUAUCACAUGUAUAUGGAUCUUCAUGGCCAAGGAACAAUUCUUUUUAAAACUCAAUGUGCACAAACACAGCUGGGAGCAAAGGCCAAAUAAGUGAGGAGUUCAUGCAAAGUUUCUGCACACAGUAGUCAACUGUGAAAAUGGCAUUGAUUUUUAAGUGAACCAAAUUUUUUUAAGACUUAUUAGUCAUAAAAGUGUUGUUCUGCCAUUGAUUAUCACACGUAUAUGAAUCUCCAUGGCCAAGGAACAAUUCUUUUUCAAACUCAAUAUGCAGAAACAGGAUUGAGAGCAAGGGCCAAAUAAGUGGAUAGUUCAGGCAAAAUUUCUGCACACAGGGGUGAACUGUGAAAAUGACAUUGAUUUUUAAGUGAACCAAAUUUUUGUUAAGACUUAUUGGCCAUAGAAGUGAUGUUCAGUCAUGGAUUAUCACAUGUAUAUGGAUCUCCAUGGCCAAGGAACAAUUCUUUUUCAAACUCAAUGUGCAGAAACAGAACUGGGAGCAAAGGCCAAAUAAGUGGAGAGUUCAGGCAAAGUUUCUGCACACAAGGAUGAACUGUGAAAAUAACAUUGAUUUUUAAGUGAACCAAUUUUUUUUAAGACUUAUUGGAAAUAAAAAUGAUGUUCAGCCAUUGAUUAUCAUACUUAAGGCACGUAUUUUUCACAUGUUAGUCAACAUAGUCCAUGCCAUUAAUGCUUUAGUGAAAAAUGUUUAAUUUGAAUUUAUAUGAAUGAUUAUUAUACAAAUGUUAUAUUGUAUAAAAAUGGUUAUUAAAUUCCAAAAUUAACAAUUGAACUUAAUAUAUAAAUAUUAACAUAUAAAACACAUUUAUAUAAAAACGUACUAAUUGAGAUCAAGAAGUCAUAAAUAAACAUUUAUAUAAAUAUAAGUAUUUAAGGAUAUGAACAUAAAUUGGUGAUAUAUUUUGUGGUUCACACGUAUAACAUUAUAAUGACAUCCAUUAAUGUGAACUUCAACUAUAAUAUCCUUUCAAUGAUUCUUAACCUUGCAGACCAUAACGUCUCCUUCCUUCGAGCCAUAUUGUGUGCAAAAUUUCUUCCAUCCUUUUAUGAACUUGUCACCAAUGUUGAUAUCAAUGUAGUUCAACAACCUUGGAAACUUUGUUAUCCGUGUACUGUACAUUGAGUUGGAUGUCACAAAAUGAUGACAAAACCAAACCUUCAAAAGUAAAUAAAACAACAUUCACAUAAAAAGUGAUAAAAAACCUUAACAAAGUACUCAAAAACUAUAAUGCCCCACUUGUAGUUACCCACACACCCCAACUCAGAAACAAGGUCAAAAGGAAUUGAAAACACUAAUCCACUACGAUUGGGAAACAAGAACUCACUUAUCCCAACCAAUAUAUACAAACUACAAAAAUGUUCUAAUGAAAAAUUCUCAUAUUUCUUUAUCAAAAUUUGAUAACCAUGUUAACAUCUACUUUCCCAUAAGGAAAGUAGUCCCUAAACACACUUUGAUGACCAACUUUAUUUAAAUAUAUUGGUUCACCAACAACAUGCAACUCUAAAGACAAACAUACAUUACAUUCAUUAAAUUCAAUAAUUUUGUGUCCAAAAUAAAAUGAUUAUGGCUAAUUAUGCUUACCUUCCCUAAAGGAUAAGAAUUAACACUUUGCACCCUCCUUGUUAGGGAAAGUUCAACCAUACUACUUACAUUAUGCCCUUAAAAAUAAUAAGCUAAAGGAAAUUGGUGUAAUAUCCUAAAAAGGAUUGUGUCAAUAUUCAAGUACCAACCUCAUGGAAGGUACUUAUAGUUACCCCAAAUGAUUUUAAGCUCGUCAAAGUGAUCAAAACUAAAGCUAAAUGACCUAAUUAUUUUAGGAUUAGAUAUUGACUACAAAAUUACAAAUAACAUACUGUUAUUUUCUAUUUAAAAUUUGAAACAAAAAUGUUUACGCAAAAUAAUUUAAUAUCAUCUUGAUGAUAUCAUGCAUGAUUUUAGAAAGUAGAAAGCAUCCAUAUUUCAUAGUUUGAUGUUGAAGUUAACCAUACAUAUAGCAUAAAUUAGCCAGCACAAAAUGGAACUUAGUCAGAAUUCUAUGUUACAAUUAUGACAACUUAGCAAAAGUGUAGUAGUAAACAUUAUAGGUGGUACUUACGUCAUCCCUCCGUUAAGGUUUAUAUAUCUGGAGUAAGAGUUCCAAUCACCUUGCCCGUCAUAACCUGUAGAGAAUCCUACAGUCACCAUCAAUUUUCUAGAAGGACAAGUUAUUCGAUCAACAAUUUCAACGUCAUUCUUUGAGGUUAUAACAACUUACCUUAAUUACCUCCAUAAUAGUAAGCAGUCGAUGGAUGGUCAUUUGGAGUGAAGCUUGCAUUCAGGUUAAAUGGCUUGAACCCCUUAGCUAAGGCGUGCCCACUCUGUAUAGAAGCAGACUAUAAGAAUAUGUUAUCACACACAAAUCCAAAGUUUCUAAUGUAUCAAUUCUAUAGUAAAAAUACAUACCUUUGCAGGCUCCGGAACUACAGUGGUCUUGGGUUCAAAGUCCAAGGAUAAAUUCUACAAUAAAUCUGCAGCUUCUACAUUAAAAUGGUAAGAAAACUCAUGAUUAAAGAGAAAAGUUUCUCCAACAAACAAAAAUAAACUUACAUUAAAAAACAAAAAGGGAUAAAUUUUAUCGACUCAGCACCAGUAUUUAUAAAUUGUUUAUGGAAAAAUUAUCUAGAUGUCAAAUGAACCUAUUUAUUUAUUUGUUUAAAUUACAACAAUGUAUACAUGUUUUCAUAAAAUGAAAAAUGAAAAAAACUUCAAAAAACAUUUAACUUUAUUAAGGAAAAACCUAAAUGUCCAAAAAAUUAAAAAAAAAAACUCAUGAAACAAAAAUUAAUCAUUAGCGAAAUAAAUUUAAAACCUUCAAAAAUCGACUUCUAAUAACGUUUUCUGGCUUUGUAAGCACUUAACGGUGGAAUGAUUGCAGUGAAUAACGUGUCUCCCUACCAACUCCGAAUCCUUUAACGGCAAUGACAGUGACUGAUGGGUGAGUGCGACGGAAGAAAAAAACGAAAAUGCUUGUAGGAAAGAGCGAAAAGGAGUCUAGGUGCAAAGGUUGCCUUUCUCUUUUUCUUUUGAAAACCACCAAAUGAGACCCAAAACCAAAACCAUUCACUGUCUUCUAUUUCUACCACAUUUUCUCUUUUUUAAAAAAAAAAUUCCACUUACUCCAAUAACAGCGUGACACAUGUAUGUUGUAAAAAAUUUGUCAUUUUAAGGUGUCAAAGUAUCAUUACGUAAUCUGAAAAAAAAUUUCACUGAUAAUAAUUAAUAGGUACAACAAAACUCCUUGAAACAUUUAUAGAAAAUAUUCUAUUAGUGAAUAAACAAUACAAGAAAAUAUUCACUCAGAUUUAACUAAACAAAAAGGUGAUUACUUCACUUUCGAAUCUCACCAUAAACACUAUAGUGGCUUCUUUGGUUUUUCUCUCCAGAUAUACUAUUUGUGAGAAGUGCACACACAGAAAACCCACACAGCUUUCGCUGCACUCCUAAUUUUAUGGUGACCUACGUGUCAAUGAUCAAUAUUUUUCUUAAUAAGUCCUUGUUAAAUCCUAACUUUUUUAUACUUUUUAAUAAUAGAAGACGCUUAAAUGAAAAAGUGUUUAUCAUUUAUUCACUUUAAAGAAGUUACCUUCAUUUCACCGUUCCUAUUUACCUUUACCUUUUGUUUUAUGAGCGAAAAACAUUAUAAAUUAAAAUUGAAGCACCAAUGAUGUCGGCAGGAAGAGAAGAGAUUUUCAAUUUUUUUGUUUAAUAAUAUAUGUGAUGGAAAUUUAAUAUAAAUAUUUAAGUUCAUAUUUUCUCUUUGAAUCACCUAGGAAAAUAUGAGUAGACGCAUUUGAUUUUCUUAUUUGUUGGAAUUUAAAAAAUAACUCCGAAAAUAUAUAAAUUUUUCAAAGGAAAAAAGUUUGAAAUCCUUUGUUACACCAAACAACACACGUAUUAAUUAUUAAACCAUUAUACACAUACAAAAACGGAAAACAAAUUCUCAAACAAAUUUCGAGCUUCAGCAAAAUCUUGUUGGCCUAGAGGCUGUGAGAAUUCCGAGGAACAUCCUCUGGAUGGAUUGGCAUUUUUCUUCAGAAACUUAACAAAAGGAUGAAUUGUUGUAAUAAUAUCAUAUUAUUGCAAAAGACAUCUUUCUCCAAUGGUAAUAUUCCAACCGCCAAAUUCUUAAGUGCUGCAAUGGCCAAAUUAUUUAUUGUUUUUUAUUGUUUUUUAUUGAUUUUAUUCUUCCCUAUCUCUAUAAAUAGAGAACUCUGUCCCCAUUCCUAAACACACCAAAGUUCAUUCUUUGUCUUCUUCUCCUAAAAUUAUCCUAGGUAUAAACUCUUUACAGAGUUUCUUGCUAGUUCUGUGAUCCUCGAAUACAUUUCGAGAAGUUCCUAUUGUGUCCUGGGGGACUUGCGCAACAUACCGCGAAUAAGUCCUUAAGAACAGUGGUCUACACACCUCAGGAAAUGCGGUUCGAGAUUUUGGUCAGUAUUUUUUACUACAAUCUUAAGGACUUAUAUUUUAGUCUCAUUCAAAAAGCCAAAAAGGUACGAAAAUCUAACAUUUUUUUUAAUUACUUCGUAAUUGUUAUUUUUAGUUUUGAAUGCUUUGAAAGAUGAUUUCAUGUUUCUGUUUUAAUUGAGUGAUCCAGGAAUUUUAGAAAUAUAUGUUCGAUAAAAUAUUGUUCUAAGACCAUAAUUUUUGUUCCGUACUCAUGAAAUAAAUUUUCGUAACCAAGGUAUAAAUGUUGACUAGUGAUAUGAAUAAAGGUGUUUUUUUUUUUGGAUAGUUUCAACGUAAAACUGUAGUCCCUAUAUUAUCUUUGAUUAGAUCUUAAUUAAUUUUUUAAAUAAGUUUUAUAUUUCUUCCUUUUUCAAACUCAUACCUACCUAUAAUUAAGAGGGGAACAUUCAUAACAAGUAUUAUAUUUCUUCCUUUUUCACUAAUAAUAUAUAUAAAGGAGGGAUUGUGAUUAUGACUUUCUUUGAAAGCUAGCUAGUGAAAGUGAUUAUGACUUUUGGAGUGAUUGCAAAAGGAGACCCGGACUAUCUUACCAAGAGAUCUACCGUGUGUGUGUGGAAGCUUCCAAAGUUCCAAAAAGGAAUGAGUUUAUAAAAAAGUAAUAAUACCAUAAAACGUUUUUACAUUCAUUUGACAUAGAAUACAAAAAUAAAAUAGUCUAAAAAGUAUAAAAUUUUAUAAUUUUUCAAGAAAGAAAAGAAUAAAAAAUAAAUAAGGAUAAUAUCAAAUAAAAAAUUUAGGUUACUUAAAUAAUCAUUUCUCUUUAUAAAAGACACUUAUAUAAGUAGUCAAAACUCUUUCUUUAAAAGUUGCAAAUAAAAUUACAUCAAAAUCAUACAAGUUAAAUAUGUUUUUAUUACAUAUAUUUACCGUUCUGGAUAUAUAAGUUUAGGGGUUAAACUAGGCGUAACCUAAAAAGCUACUUUAUUAUUGAGUAAGAAACAAUUUAUAUACACGGACAAAAAGAUAAAUAUUCUCAUCUUUUACUUCUAACAAAAUUUUAAUGAUGCGGUUAAAUAUGUUUUUAUUACAUAUAUUUAUAUUAUUCUUGAUAAUUUAUUGUAUUGAAAUUUAAAUAAAAGUUGUUUAUUUAUUAUCAUAAUUAUUUUUAUUAAAUAAAAAAGAUAGUAUUGCAAAAUAAAACGAAUACAAGAAAAAUGAUUUAUUUUUACUCGGCGACAUAAUAGAAAUGGAUAAAAUUAAUAUUAUUACGUUUGUUUCACUUACUCAACCAUGCACAAUACAAACUUCUGCAUCUUACCAAGUUUCUGACAUUAAAAUCUAUGAUCCAAGUGCCAUGAAAUCUCCAACCACAAACCAUACCAUAAACAAAACCACCUUCAGAAUUUGGGAGAAAUUUAUCAUUGUGUAAUUGAAACUUACAUCCCAUCACCAAACUCCUCAUUGAUUAUCUCUUUGAUGCUCUCCCCAAAAUGCAUUACAGCUUCAUUCAACCUGUGAAAUAGAACAUCAACAUAACAGUUGGGCACCUUGAAACAAAGACCAGAAAAACGAGACAGAGAAGAACCAGAGAUAAACUCCCAAACUGAAUUAUUCACUAUUGGCUAUAGAAGACAAUGUUUACAAAGGAAAAAACUUCCUUUCACACAGAGUAUUAUUCCCUGUCACCAAAGUCAAAGAUUUCAAUACCAAAAAGAAGACCCCUAACACCUCACAAAGGUAAACUAUUUAUAGACUUUCUGAGAAAGUUUCUCCCCAAAACAACUAACUACAUAACCCCUUUUAUUUCUAAAUUCCCUUCUAUAAUACACAUUUCUCCCUCUCUCAAUAAUUCCCUUCCUAACAAUAACCCAACAAAUUAAGUAUAUAAAGAAGGCUGUUGAUAUAAUACACCAUACAUGUUCCCAGCAUUAGAAUAAACACAUUACAAAAGAACUACUAUGUACAUUCAUGUCAAUCACAAGACAUCCAUGACACACUAUUAACAACUAACAACUUGACAUGAUUGAGUGAAUAUUAAAACAACUUGACAUGAUUGACAUGCCAUGCUGAUCCACAAGUUCUAAUUGCACUACUUGGGUGUCCUUCAAGUCUUACCCAAUCAAUGUCCACCAUCCUAAUUCCAUCCAACAUUUAAAUAUUUGGUAGAACCCAAUUGAUGCAAUUUGAAUAUGAAGAACCAAAAUUGCAUAAUGGUGAUAACCUCCCACUUAACAUGCAAUUAAGCCUAAAGAUUAUACUCCCAACAACUCAUUUCACCAUACAUAACAGAUACUCCCAACUCCAAUUUCGAAUCCCUAAAUCCCAAUUUUCAGAGGUCUGAUCUCAUUUAUCUCUAAAUCCCAAUUUCUUAAGCCACAUCACCACUCCUUCUGUUAUGGAAUCAGUCCACGUAAAAAAAAAUAACACAUCACCACUCCUUCUGUUAUGGAAUUAGUCCACGUAAAAAAAAUAACACCUCACCACAUUCUCACUCCAACACGUGAACAAUACUUAAUGUCGUCUGCUAGCCCUUAACGAAUGGGGUACAAUGUGUGCAUUUUUACAAAAAUUGUGACUAAAUUGAGAUUGUUGAAAGCUUCAGGACUAAAAUGAAAUUCCUUAACAAAACAGAGGACCAAUUGAAGUAUUAAGCCAUUUUUAUGCUUCAUUGUAUAAUGUAAAACUAAGAAAAAACUAACCAUCAAAAUAAUAAUAUUUUGUAUAUUUUCCAAGAAAUUAAAUAAAUAAUUUUGUUAAUCUUCUCAUCGAAAUGAUAUAUAUAUAUAUAUAUAUAUAUAUAUAUAUAUAUAUAUAUAUAUAUAUAUAUAUAUAUAUAUAUAUAUAUAUAUAUAUAUAUAUAUNNNNNNNNNNNNNNNNNNNNNNNNNNNNNNNNNNNNNNNNNNNNNNNNNNNNNNNNNNNNNNNNNNNNNNNNNNNNNNNNNNNNNNNNNNNNNNNNNNNNNNNNNNNNNNNNNNNNNNNNNNNNNNNNNNNNNNNNNNNNNNNNNNNNNNNNNNNNNNNNNNNNNNNNNNNNNNNNNNNNNNNNNNNNNNNNNNNNNNNNNNNNNNNNNNNNNNNNNNNNNNNNNNNNNNNNNNNNNNNNNNNNNNNNNNNNNNNNNNNNNNNNNNNNNNNNNNNNNNNNNNNNNNNNNNNNNNNNNNNNNNNNNNNNNNNNNNNNNNNNNNNNNNNNNNNNNNNNNNNNNNNNNNNNNNNNNNNNNNNNNNNNNNNNNNNNNNNNNNNNNNNNNNNNNNNNNNNNNNNNNNNNNNNNNNNNNNNNNNNNNNNNNNNNNNNNNNNNNNNNNNNNNNNNNNNNNNNNNNNNNNNNNNNNNNNNNNNNNNNNNNNNNNNNNNNNNNNNNNNNCGAACAGACUAAACGUCUGAAUUAUUCAAGGCAGCACUUGCCUUCCGGACUAAACGUCCGAACAGACUACACGUCUGAACUAUUCAAGGCAGCACUUGCCUUCCGGACUAAACGUCCGAACGGACUAAANGUCUGAAUUANUCAAGGCAGCACUUGCCUUCCGGACUAAACGUCCGAACGGACUAAACGUCUGAAUUAUUCAAGGCAGCACUUGCCCUUCGGACUAAACGUCCGAACAGACUAAACAUCUGAAUUAUUCAAGGCAGCACUUGCCUUCCGGACUAAAUGUCCGAACGGACUAAAAGUCUAAAUUGUUUAAGGCAGCACUUGUCUCUUUCAUUAAAAACAACGUUUGCAAGGCGACGUGACUAGCAAUUUCGGAGCUUCUUUCAAUACAUCGUCAUUCAGACAUGAAGAAGUCAACAAUCCCCUACAGCCGAUACGUUCAAAACUAUUCAGAUCACCGAAUUCGGGCAUUUCUGCAUAAGCAAGUAAGUUCACUUGAAAUUAUACUAGUUAAGAUAAUUUAUCUAGAAAAAAUUGUUGUUGAUUUGUCAAGCAAAGUGAAAGCCCCUUGUUACGCCAAAACGGCGAAGGGUAACACAUUUAUUAGAUAAGGGUAAACCAAAACUUUAGUCAAAGGCCGAAAGCCUUCAAAGUACACAUGCAAUAUCACGCUGCGGGCCGACAGCCUUAUACCUAUACUAAUUCCCAAACAAUUGCAUAAUGAAGUCAUUAGAGGAAAUACAUAAACAUUCGCAAUUAUAACAGAGUUAAAACAGAAACAAGUUUUGAGAUCAUCCACAGAGUAUUGAAUAUUUAACAAGAAAUUUAAAUUUUUGGUGUAUCCACUUCCUCGAUGAUGGUUCUCCCAGGGAUCGGCACUUCACUAACAUCAAACGUCACGUUGCUGAUCUCUCCCGUUGGGGCAACAGUCUGAACAUCAGUCUGAGCUUUAACAGCGACUUCCUCUUCCUCUUCUUCUUCACCAUCCGAAUACGUUCUAGCAGGAACCUCUUUGGAUGGGACUAUCUUUCCAUCGAGAAUAUCCUUCUCCACGUCUAAAGGAAGAUCUUGUAGAGGUCGGUCAAGCUGAAAGGUGACCUGCCGGAUUGCCUUCUUAAAUCCGCGAGUGUGCUCCAGAACAAUAGCUUCUGCCAUUUCCCUUUCUCGAGCCUUUGCCGCUAUUAACGAAUUCUUCAAAAUGUUCCUUUCAAUGGUAACUUCAUUCAAGGCCUUUCAAGUAGCGGCAAGAUCAGCAGUUUGACGAUCCAGGUCCUUCUUCGUUGCCUGAAAGGACUGUUUUAUGUUCUCGAGUAUGACACGGCCUUCGUUGAUCGUUUUCUCGGUCGCCUCAUACUUGGGUCCGCAUUCGGAAUGAAGAAGGGUGAGAUCCAUCAAUUGUUUCUAUAGGCCUUCAACUUCAGCCUUGUCCUGAUCAUCCAUAUGGAUCAGCUCUAAAGUAGAGGCAGUAGCACGAACACAAAACUCCAAAAUGUGCUGGCGGAGUUGCUGGCGAGGAGUGUUUUUUAGCACUUUCAUCUCGGCCGAAUCCAGCUUGGGAUCUAUCUUAUACCCAGGUCAAAACCGGCAUCCCAUACGCCGUUCUGAAGGUCGCGGUCGGCAUCAGCGUGUCCGGUUUCAUCCACUGCAGUCCCCUUUGAGGGGUUCCUCGUUCUUUUCCCGGACGGCAACUCUCUAAGAGGGAUCACCCUCCUUUUUCUCUUCAAAGGAAUUUCUUCUUCGCCCUCCAGAUUAACGACCGGCGCGGUUUGUGGAGGGGGAGUAGGAGUCAGAACACUGGAGCCUUGACCCUGGAUCAGGUCCUUCGUGCAGUUGAACCAAUCAAUAGUGGUCUUCUUCUUGCCCAUGAUAGCUGAUACAGAAGAAACUUCAGUAAGCAAAAAUCAUUAAGUAAUUAAUAAUGGUUAAUACGGAAACAUACCAGAGACCCUUGAAUCUAGGUCGUCGUGCGCCAGGCAAUUCACUAGCUGUUUCGAAGAGAAAGGGUGAAGAGAUAGUUCUUCCAGCGCACUGAUAGCCUUUAAUUCAUAGGUUGACAAUGAAUCCUUAUCCCAAGAAGUUAUUGAGUAAGGGUUUUGAGUCCAAUAUAAGGGAAAUCUCUCGUUAUCGUCCUCAUUAAGGAAGAACGGGCGGCCUAGGUCGGUGAUAACUACUCUGAAAAAGUGUUUUUUAAAGUCUUUAUACGAGUCCGCAUACAAUUUGAACAGGGUAUUUUUGGGAUCAGAAACAAGUGAAACCCAACCCCUUUUUGGAACUGGGCGGGUUCUAAAGAAGUAUAAAAACAUGGGGGCGGUCGGUUUUAUAUCUAAGAAUUUACAAACUACGCAAAACGACUGAAUGUAACCCUAACUAUUGGGAUGAAGUUGCGUGGGGGCAACGUUUAGGUGUCUUAACACAUUCAUAUGGAAAUCAGAGAAUGGAAGUCUAACAUACAUAUCAACAAACAAACAAGUAUACAUGUAGAAGAAAUGCUUUUCAGAACCAUGUCUAUGGGUGCUACCUUUUGCCCCUUUUCUUCCACCACUGACGACGGCGAACCAAGAUUAAAGGAAGAACUCAUAAUUACCUGAAAAGAUUGACGCUACUAGGAGGAAGGGAAAUCGAUAUUCUGGUGGGAACGAGAGUGUUCUAAGAUUUGGAAGACAGAGGAAAUGAAAGUGGCGGUUACAAAAACCCUACAUUAAUUACCCUAUAACUGGCCGCAACUGUCAGAAAAACCCUUGACCAUUGGAUCAAAAUGAUCUGACAGCCAAGCGAACAAAACGCUCCAACUGCUUUCAAGGCGGGAAAAAAGUUAAUGAUGGUUUGGAACUCAAUCGACGAGUCUCCAAAACGCUGCGUUACGGUGAAAAUUUAAAAUGCUUCUGUGAAGAUUGAGUUACUGGCUAUUUAGGGUCCCUUAUAAUCGCCCGGGAUGUCAGGUUUACAAAGCAGUCGGUCAGUUGAGAUUACUCGUUGAGAGAACCCGGUCGGCUAAGAUUCCCUCACACAAUCAAAAGUCCUACAUUCAUUCGUUGGUCACAAUUCAACGCUUCAUUUGGACUUGGGGGGGAUGAUGUACGAUAUGCUAUUUGGGCCGAACGGUUGCAAUUAGUAACCGCACGGUCCAGCAUGCUUAUUGGGCCACAAUCAUAUUAAUGAUAGGCCAUUGUCGGUUCAGUCAUUGGGCUAAUAGUCCAUCACAACGAUAUAAUCCGUUGAGAAUAAUAUCUUAACAAACUAUAUCAGAAAAGAUUAAAUAAGAUAUGAACAGCCAGGUAUUCAGGUAUGACCGUUUAUAUUAUAUUCUGUUUAUAUUUGAUAAUGAUCUAUAUAUACAGGGCUGGAAUCGUGUACCAGGUACGCUCUCUCAUACACUAUUUGCCUUACAAUAUUAUUCAGUGAUUUCACUCUGCAUUCUCAUAUUGAGAGCCUUCAGCCUUGCCAUUCAAGGCUCAUCACCACUCACCCUGACUUGGGCGUCGGAGUGCCAUUGUAGGUACCUCCCCCCAGUCAUAGCUUGGAGCUUCCGGACGGUUGAAGAUCAGAAGACAGCAGAAGCGUCACAUCAUCCAGGUUAGUCCCUUCGAUCCCAAAAUAUUCAUACCGAAACACAUAAUAUUAUAUAUCAAACUAUUGAAAGAAAUAAUCAAUGUGCAUCUGCAAUACAGCAGUAUAUUUUCAAGUGGUUACAUGAGGAAUUAUUUUAUAAUUAAUCGUCGAUCAAAACGCUUACGUUUGUGUGUCCUCCAUCUGAACAUUUACUUGGAAUAUAUAUAUACAUCUACAUGUAUAUAUAAUAGGCAGAAACUUCGCUCACGCACUAAAACUUUCUCAAUCACAAAUUCACGUAUAUGCAUUAAUUCUCUUGGUAGAUUAGUGUAAACAGAAUUUUGAAAUGCUUAAACUAAAAUUAGAACAACAUUGAUAUAAGUAUAAGAAUACACAUAAUUAUCAGUCAAAAUAUAAAGUCGGUCAAAAUUGGCACUAUUAAAGUUAGGUAAAUCAACUGUAGCAUAGAUCCUAAAACAAUUAUUAAAUUUAGAGUGAGGUCUUCCGAUUAUAGUUGAACGUUAACAUUUAUUACAAUAAGGUUUAAUUAUGUUCUAACAAAAUAAAUUUAUUAUUAUUUUUAUUUGUUUUAAUUUCAUUUUUACUUUUAAAAAGUUGUACAACUAUGUUUUUUUGGUUAAUUUGAUAAAGCGACAUGUAAACAUGAUAAGAUGAUGAAUAAUUCUAAAUUUGAUUAAGUCUAGUGCUAAAUAGACUGCAUCUAUUUCAUUAAUUCCAUUUUAACAUGAUUUAUUGUUACAGUGUGAAAAUCUGAACAUGAGGUUUUAAGUAAGAAAUUUUUUUACCACAAAACAUUUCAUAGAUUAUCUGAAAUGUUUGAGAUGUAAGAAAUACAGUUGGAUAAGAGAGCAUUUCUAGAACUUGGUGCUAGCAUCUUGAAAUUUUCUAGAUUAUCAUAAUAAACGUGCUACUGUCCAAAGGAAUCAAGCUUUAGAAAAUGAUGAUGUUUUACAUACAGGUGGUUUGAUAUUACUACUCAUGCGAUUUGUAUUGUACAAACUUUCAUUCCUUUUCUAUCCAUUGUGAUAUAACUUAUGUAAUUUAAAAUUGAUGUGUAUAUAUAAGUCCAUAUUAUGUCACAGGCACAAGAGCUGGGAAUGGUUAUGCACGUUGAUGAGGUAUUUUAGUAAAUUCAUAUUCGAAAGGGAUCUAACUAGUUUGUUGAUGAGAAAUCCCGACAAACACAUGUAAACAAACACUUUUACAAACUUUAAAAUUGUACUAUUAUGUUUCUUUUAAACUUAAUUCUUUACUGACACUUUACAAAAUAUUUAAAAGAAUUUUCAACUAGACUCUCAUAGGUCAAAUCGAAGCAAGGGUCAUGUCCUGAUGCAAUAAAAGACCAUAAUAAUGAUGAGGACAUUAUUAGGACACAGUGUUGAAUCGACGUUGUCUAUGAAAUAAAUAAAGAAAAACUAUAUGGGGCAGAAUAGGUUGUUGCCAAUUACACUAGUGGAAGAGGAACACUAAAACAACAACCAUUAACUUCCGACAGUGCAUAAGACGUUGUUGUCCACAUCACCUAGCAACUAGAGCAACGUGACCAGGCUUAUGAUGAGUUGAAACAAUAGUUUAUGGAUUUCCAAAAUUUGAUCAUGUGAUUCUUGUCUCUAGAAGCACAAACUUGUCUUUCACGACCUCAAUCCACACCAACAUUGUCUCAACAACAAUCCUUUCUAGUCGAGUCCACCCUAGUCUAGCCACCUCCAGAAUAGUAACAACAUGAAAAAGAAGAAGAAAUAGUUAGAUGAUUAUGUAGUAUUUUAAGAUUUUGUUAGUUUUAUAACCAUUUAGUAUACAAUCUUCUAUGUUUGUCUUAGUUACAUUAUAAACAUGUUUGUGUGCAUAUUAAUGUCAUGAAUUUGAUUGUCUAGCAAAUUUCUUGGUUGUUUUUAUGUGUAAGGUUCAAUGUAUGGUAAUAGUCCACUAUACUUGACCUAACGCACAAUUUAUCGAUAGAAAUUAUCGAAACAUAAAUCUGUCAAUAAUAUUCUUUAUUGAUUCACAUAAUUAUUGACAGAUAAUAAUCGUCAGUAAUUAUUGACAGAUGUAUCUUUAUUUAAUUAUCAACAAACAAUAUCUAUCGAUAAAUGUUUUCAACAACACUUUUACGGAUAGAAUUUUACUCGUUAGAAAUUUGUAAAAAAAUAGUCAUUAUUAAUGAUUUUUUGUUGUUUUUAAUAUAUAUAUAUAUAUAUAUAUAUAUAUAUAUAUAUAUAUAAAUCAUCAAUAAAUCCAGUUUUUUUGUAGUGUUUUUCAUUGGAAGCAUAAUUACUCAGAGAUACUGUUAGUUUCCCAACUGAUAGUAAUGAGCUAAGCAAUAACACCGUGAAUAAUUCAUCUUUUAAUACAAUCUUCAUAAUCAAUUGAUUCAUAACAUUCUGAAAAUUCAUCCUUGUAUUUCAAGUUUAUUGGUUUCUGAAUAAAGAAUAUCUUAUUCAAAAAAAUUUUAGAUUCAAACAACUCCCCUAAUCUCUUCCACAAGCUGUAAAGUAGAAUUUCUCCUGUUUCAUGAUGGUAAAUAUAUUGAUCCAUUUAUUGUUGGAUCAAACUAAUAGUAUUUCGGUUUAUCUUCUUCUAAUCUCUAUCCGAUUUAUUUAAUAGUAUGACACCUGAUUCUCAAUAGGAUCAUACAAGUCUUGACAAAAUAACAUAUUUUUCAUUCAAGAUUUUCAUAUUAAAUAAUUAGCAAAAUCUAAUUUUAUCAUGAUUCCACACCAUCACUGUCUCCCAUCUGCAAAUCACGAACUAAAGUUCCUAAUCGGAGCUCGGAUACGAGUUGUUGAAAAAAUGACAAAAAAUACAAAUAAUAAGCGGAAGUAAUAACCCCAUAUUAAAUCUUCACUGAAAAGAUAAUAGAUAAUAUAGAUCACAAAAACAAUGAAGGAGAAAUUAGGAGACACCAUAACAUGAAAAAACUAAAUAUCCUUAUAACCUAGUCUAGACAAAUCAUCCACUGAUAAUAAUAAUUAGGUACAACAAAACUCUUCUUAGAACUUCCAAAGAUUUAUAGAAAAUAUUCUAUCACUCUAAGUGAAUAAACAAUACAAGAAAAUAUUCACUCGAGAUUUAACUAAAAAAAAGUGAUUACUUCACUUUCGAAUCUCACCAUAAACAUUCUAGUGGCUUCAUUGGUUUUUCUCUUCAGAGAUACUAUGUGUGAGAAGUGCACACACAGAAAACCCACAUAGCUUUUGCUGCACUCACAUCUUGUUCUCUCUUAAUUUUUCUUUCUGUGUUAUUUUCUUGUGGUGCAUUGUAUUGUGGAUGCAGAAGCUCAUUCCUUUUUAUAAGGGUUUCAAACCGCCUUGCAUGAGUUGACAAUGGCUGUCAUGCAAAUGUUGCAAUUACAAAAUGAAACCAUGUAAAAAAUUACACGUUGUACUCCACUUUCCCUAUUGAAUCCAUGUCCGAAAGUUUUACUGCAUUUGCCACUCAUUUUGCUUCAGCAAAGUUGCCCUAGAGGCUGUGAGAUUUCCGAGGAACAUCCUCUGGAUGGAUCAUUUGGUGGAGGGAUUGACAUUUUUCUUCACAAACUUAACAAAAGGAUCAAUAAGGGUCCAGUAUGUAAUUUAGGUGGUUGUGAUGAUUAGGCCUCAAGAAAAUUGUAAUAAAAUACUCAGUAACGAACAGGAUUGGCAGGUAUAUUUUGAUAGGACAAUGAUAUUUUGACAACACUUUUUGACAACUUUUUUGACAACGGGACACGUGUUAUCAUUUUAUUGGUCUAUUUGAAUUUGUUUAAAAAAUAUUUAAAACGGAUCAAUCACAAGCUGCCACGUAUGCGUUGUAAAAAAAUUGUUAAAAAAGUGUUGUUAAAAGAAGUUUUUCCAUUUUGAUAAUACAUCAAUACAUAAACUGAACAUUGAUAGUCAUGGUGACAAUAACCAACGUUUGCAUACAAGCCUAUGGUCGAUUUUCCUACAUGUUAUAGUAACAAAAACAGUAAACUUUAAUGCCUAAAAACAUAUUAAAACAGUAAUCAACCUUCUCCACUAAAAAGUGGAAGCUGAACUUGCAGGAAAAGUUCUUGCCAACAUGAUGAUGGCUAGAAAAAUACUUGUUUACUUUUUAAUCUAUCUUCCAUUCUUAACUGAAAAAAAAAAAAAAGAGUGAGAGUUAGAAGUUAAAACAUAUUUCAUCUAUGUUAAAGGAAAAAAUUAUUUUCAUUACCUUCUCCAUUUCAGCCAGAGAAUAUUUUCUGGCGCCUAAAUAUUCCAGUCCCAAGAAAACUGUGCAUGAUUGCUUAUGUUGGAACAAAAUAGAUGCAGCAUUGAUAUACUCAUCAUCCAAAUGCUGAACUUCAAAAAGAAGUUUUAAUCUUUGAAAACAUUUUUGCAUCAAAAUUGCAGAAUGGAAAGGUGAUUGGAGAGAUGAUUGGGACAGGCAUAUUUGGAAUGAAGCUCCAUUAGAAUUAGAAGAUGAAGCAUGUCUACGACCGGAUGAAGAUGGAAGGGAUGAAGAUGAUCGGGACCCUGAAUAAGGAUGCUUGAAAUAAUACCAAAGCGCAUUAAAGAUUUGGCGGAUUGACUCGAAGUUUUCAAGAAUUCCUUUAUAAAGAAGUCGGAAGCUUUCUGCUUGUUUCUACAAAUUUGUCAUAUAAGAAUAAGCAUUUAGUGACAGGAAGUAAAAAUGAAUCCAUAUUUGCACCAGCUAAACUAAACUAAACCCAUAAUUAAUCCACUUCAAAAAUUCAUUUCAUUAUUAGCUGCUUCAAUUUCACAACAUUUAAAAACCCUAAUUAAUCAAACACAUUUAACAAAAAGACAAUUAUAAUUAAAAUCGAUAGCAACAGUCCAACUAGAAGAAAGGAAAAUCACAGCAAAAACCCUAUUUAAUCAAAACAAGAAAAGACAUAAAUUGGCCAUGAAGGUUUUGAAAACAAGGCCUUUUCAACCACUUACCCGGUGACUGUCGUUCUCUGGUAUCUUUGGGUAGACUGCACCAGUGUCCAAAUCAAAUAUUAAUUCCGGAUUUCCGUUCAUCAUAUCUCUGCAACAAUUUCUAAAGUAGUAGUGUGUAACAUUCAACACGCGUUCAACCUGCCAAGCAUUGGAAAUAUUAUGUCCUUUUGAUCUCCGGUCUAUAAUUUUGUAAUAAAUGAAAUCCUUCCAAAUAAUUUAUUUUCUUACCAUUUCUUUAGUCAUCGAUACUCCUUCUUGAUCUUGUAACAAUUUGGAAAUACGAUAACAUUCCAAUGAACUAAAGAUGUGAUAUCGAUGGCUCCUUUGAAAAAUAGAAUCAGCAGCUAGAACCCUUAAAAGCGUUUGCUUAUCUUCAUGGUGAAGAUUUAAAUCUACUAACUUUUUAUUCUGUUCAUUGUAACCAAAUGUUAGAAAACAAACACAUAACUACAAAUCCAAGAUCUAUUUAAAAUUUAAACUACAAUUUCUCUAUAAGCUAUACUUACCACAGCUGCUUUAUUAGCCAUUUCUGCAAUAUUAGCCAUUUCUUGUUUCUUCUGCUGCAGACCACAAGUUUUCAUUUCUGCUAUAUUAGCCAUUUCUUGUUUCUUCUGCUGCAGACAACAAGUUUUUUGUUUCUUCUGCUGCUGCAGGCAACAAUUUAUCAAUAUGAUUCAUCAGUUUGACUAUUGAUUCAUUUGGCCCAUCAUUCUAAUCAAAUGUUAGAGAACAAAUACAUAACUACAAAUCCAAUAACACCCUUAUAGGUCUCUCUUGUUUGGAUAAAUGGAAAGAAAUAAAUACCACUAACACCAUUGUCUCAUGGCUACCCAUGCUAUUGUCACAAGACUCUAUAUCAUUGUCUCAUUGCUCAAUAGAUGAGAAAAAAUAUAAAGUACUCGAACAUGAUCAUAGAUAAAUUUACACACCUUUUCUCCUGAAACUUUUUGUCUUUCGGAAUAAUUUGUACAAGACCAAGAAUAAGAGCAACAACUUGAACAAGGGUAUUCGCUUGCUUCUCUCUUGUUUAUCAUUUUAAAGGUAGAAGAGUUGCUGGAAAUAGACUCCAUUGUAUCAAAUGAUCAGACAGACACCUAUCACAUAUUUUAAAAAAAACAUUGCAAGAUUAGUUUAAAUUAAUAUUUAAAAGAGAAAGAAACAUUUGGGCCUUUUCAAUGUUGAAAUUUAUUUAUAUCUUAAUGCACUGUCCAAACAAAAACAAAGAAUAUAAUCAAUAUGAAAAUUUGCAAAAAAUUAUUUGAAUUAUAAAAAGCAUAACCAAGCUAAGCAGCAAGCCUUACAACCAACGAAUCAAUAUAAGGGUGUUAACAUGGGAAAUGGGAAGAAGGAAGAAGAAGAGGAAGGUGACAUAGAGUGGUUAUAACUUUCUUUUCAAGCUACCUAGUGAGAGUGAUUAUAACUUUUGAAGUGAUUGCAAAAACACAUCGAGACUUGAUUCGUAGCAGAAAAUAUCUUAUCAUGCAGAGAUCUUAUAUAACCAAGAAAGAAACUUUCUCUGAAAGCUACCUACUGAGUGAUUAUAUGACUAAGAAAGAAAGUUGAAAGCUUCUUAGUAUCAAAAUAAACUAAUAAAAUAAUAACACGUAUUUUAUUAUUAAAAAUUUAUUAAAAAUAAAUAUCAAAAUAUCAACUUCCUUUAUAAAAAGACACUUAUAUAAUUAGUCAAAACUCAAAUUUUCUUUGAAAGUUGCAAAUGUAAUUUUAUUCUAAAAUUACAUCAAAAUCAUAAAAAAAUUUCAUUUAUGACAUUUAUAAAUAUUUACCGUUCUGGAUAUAUAAGAUUAGGGGUUAGACUAGGCGUAACCUAAAAAGCUACUUUAUUGUUGAGUAAGGAACAAAAAUUAUAUACACGGACAAAAAGAUAAAUAUUGUCAUCUUUUACUUUUAACAAAAUUUUAAUCAUACGGUUAAAUAUUUUUUUAUUACCUAUAUUUAUAUUAAUCUUAAGAAUUUAGUGUAUUGAAAUUUAAAGAAAAGUUGUUUAUUUAUGAUCAUGAUUAUUUUUAUUAAAUAAAAAAGAUAGUAUUGCAAAAUAAAACGAAUACAAGAAAAUUGAUUUAUUUUUACUCGGCGACAUAAUAGAAAUGGAUAAAAUUAAUAUUAUUACGUUUGUUUCACUUACUCAACCAUGCACGAUACAAACUUCUGCAUCUUACCAAGUUUCUGACAUUAAAAUCUAUGAUCGAAGCACCACGAAAUCUCCUACCACAAACCAACCAUAAACUUUUUAUUCUUCUCUUCCAUUGUCUCUCUGUUGGCAACACAGAAUAGCAGUGACCAAAUACAACAUUUGCAGUUAUACAUUUCGUGAAGAUUUCGCAGUUGGUCCUUCUUUCAUCAUACUCAUUGCUUUGGUCUUGAAACCAUGUGCUCAGAUUUCUGUUCACAUUGGAAAAAAAGUUUUGAAAUACCAAAAACAAGGAAUGCUUGAAAACAAUUUAUUUAAUUUCAUACACUAAUGAUGGGAGAUUGUUAGUGUAUGAGAAGGAAACGUCAGCAGCUUAACAGUUAGCCUAACUGUUUUAUCAGUUAGGAAUAAAGGGGAACGGGUUGGUAUAAAUAGAAAGAGAGAGUAGAAGGGAGGACAAUUUAGACUUUUGUAUUCUUUAACAAGAAUUCGUUAUUCCUGUAGGGGGAGGUUAGGCUCCCAGACUACAUUUUUUCGUUGUAUUCUUGCAAUAAAUAAUAUCAGAGGAGGUUAUACAGAGUCUUGGGUGUUGAUUCUGGUGUGUGUUUGUGAUAAUUCUUUAGGUUUCUCGAUUAGAAACAUAUCAUUUGGCCCGACCUGCCGGAUCAAAAUUUGGGGAACGACGUGAGGAUGGAGAAUGCGACGGAGGCACGAUUAGAAGCGAUUGAGAUAACGGUGGAGGGGAUGAAGGCUGAAUCGGCGGGGGUACGACGGGAUUUACAANAAAUUAUGAAAAUGCUGGAAAAACAGGGCAAUCAAAUGGAGAACAGUUCGGAUGGUAGCUCCGUGAAUGAUAAUAGACACAGAGGGAUUGGGGAGACCAGAGGCGGUGGAAACGGCGAAAGGAGUGAGGAACAAAAAUCGUGGAGGAAGAGAGUUGAGUUACCCACCUUCGACGGCGAGGAGCCCCUAAGUUGGCUCAACAGAGCUGAAAGGUUUUUCGAUAUACAAAAGGUGACGACCGACGAGGAAAGGGUGGAGGUCGCUUACGUGAGCAUGGAAGGGAGUGCAGCGUACUGGUUCACUUUUUGGAAGGAGAAGGCCAGAAACCGCUCGUGGGACGGGUUGAAAGCAGCCAUGAUCAAUCAAUUCGGUGGAGGAUUUAGAGUAACCGUGUUCGAACGACUGGCUACUCUACGCCAAGAAGGAACGGUAGAAGAAUUUGUUCGUAAUUUUGAAGUUUUGAUGGGGCAAACGAGAGGAAUACCUGAAGAAGAAGUCCUGGGUUAUUUCUUGGCUGGAUUACGAGAAGACGUGAAGGGUCAGGUGCGGAUUCAGAACCCGUCGGAUUUAAUGGAGGCAAUGAGGAUAGCGCGUGAUGUGGAGGACGCGAUGAUGAGAGCAUCAGGAGGCCAUGCUAGUGGGUUCAAGAUAAACCCAUUUGGUUUGAGAUCUUCAAGGAUGGUGACGCGAUCGGAACCUUCUCGGACUACGACGUACCAACCAGGAAGAUUCGAGAAUGGAGGAUCGGCAAGGAACAAUGGUGCGGUGAUGACGAAUGCUAAUGCGAGGAGGAACAAUGCUAUUGGGAACGAUAACAGAGGGCGAAUGGUGAGGAAUCUGCCUUACCCGAAAUUUCUCAAAUGAAAGGAAGAGGGUCGUUUUUUCCGAUGCGGGGGCCCGUUUGCACCAGGUCAUCGAUGCACCGAGAGGAGUUUGAGGGUACUGUUGCUAGCAGAGGAUGAAGAGGGAGAAGAGGGGGGAGGUGGUCGGCGAUAAGGAGGAAAAGCCCAUGGAAUUUUCUGCAUGUUCGGCGGAAGGGCUGACCACUCCACGAACCUUGAAAUUGAGGGGAAAAAUUGGAGAACGAAGCGUGGUGGUGCUGAUCGACAGUGGCACAAGCCACAAAUAUAUCAGCCGGAAGGUAACAGAGGAAUUGAGAUUACCAGUGACUGACACCCGUGCGUAUCCGGUGAGUUUGGGUGAUGGGCAUAGACGAGAGACUCGAGGACGAUGCGAGAAGGUGACGGUGAGGUUGAAGGAGGUUGAUAUAGAUGAGGAGUUUUAUGUGUUUGAGUUGGGUGGCGUUGAUGUAAUUAUUGGUGUUGUAUGGCUGGCGAAAUUAGGAGAUGUCAAGACUAAUUGGGGAAGCAUGACGAUGGAGUAUAAUAUGGAAGAUAAGAAGAUCAGGAUAAGGGGCGAACCAGCCUUGUCACGACAGCUGGUAAAAUUUGGAUCAUUGCGGAAGAUGGCGGAUGCGGAAUCAUGGCCGAUGGUGUGGGAUUUAAGCACAGUGGAAAUAGAGCAGGAUGGUGAGUGGGAGACAGAUUUGAAAACAUAGCAGAAAGUGGCAUUGGCAACUGUGUUGCAGGCGCAUUAUCAUUUGUUCCGAGACUUGCAAGGAUUACCUCCCUCACGUGAUAAACAACACAGAAUACAACUGAAGGAAGGUAACGACCCUAUAAAUGUAAGGCCAUAUCGGUAUCCUCACAUACUGAAAAGUGAGAUUGAAAAACAAGUAGAAGAUAUGUUGAAGGCCGGAAUCAUACGCCCCAGCUCUAGUCCAUUUUCCAGCCCGGUUAUCCUCUUAAAGAAGAAGGAUGGGAGUUGGCGCUUCUGUGUAGAUUACCGGGCAUUAAACAAGGCCACAGUAUCGGACAAAUUCCCUAUUCCGGUGAUAGAAGAGUUAUUGGACGAACUAAAAGGUGCCAGGUAUUUUUCUAAAAUCGAUUUAAAAUCUGGGUACCACCAGAUCAGGAUGGAAGAAGAAGACAUGGCCAAAACAGCAUUUCGCACGCACUUGGGUCAUUUUGUGUUCUUGGUCAUGCCGUUUGGCCUCACGAAUGCGCCGACAACUUUCCAAAGCACGAUGAAUAGUCUAUUGCAGCAAUAUCUUAGGAAGUGGGUGUUGGUGUUCUUUGAUGACAUUCUCGUUUAUAGCCCAAGUUGGGAAGACCACCUGAAGUAGUUAAGUUUGGUGAUGCAGCUAUUAGAACAGAAAGGGUGGGUGGCCAACCAGAAGAAAUGCGAUUUUGGGAAGAAAAGGAUUCGUUACUUGGGGCAUCAAAUCUCUAAACAAGUGGUGGAAAUGGACAGUGAAAAGAUUAAGGCAGUGGUGGAAUGGAGAGAACCUAGAAACUUUAAGGCUUUGAAAGGUUUUCUGGGAUUGACUGGAUAUUACAGACGUUUUGUAGAUGGGUAUGGGAAGAUAGCACAACCCCUGACAGAGUUAUUAAAAAAGGGGAAGUUUGCUUGGUCAGAUCAGGCGAGGGCAGCUAUGGAGAAUUUGAAGGCUGCUAUAACCUCUACUCCAGUCUUAACGUUGCCGGACUUUAAUCAGGAAUUCUAGAUUGAAUGUGAUGCUUCAGGAGGAGGGGUGGGAGUUGUGUUGACCCAAAACAAGAAACCCAUUGUUUUUUUCAAUAAGGCACUUUCGAGAGGUUCUUUGAGUAAAUCAGUUUAUGAGAAAGAGCUGAUGGCAUUGGUGUUAGCCAUCCAACAUUGGAGGCCUUACUUGGUGGGAAGGAGGUUUACGGUAUACACUGACCAGCGUAGUUUAAAGUACUUGAUGGAGCAAAGGAUAACCACACAGAGCCAGCAGAACUAGUUGGCGAAGCUUAUAGGGUAUGAUUUUGAAAUAUUAUACAAAAAGGGAAGUACCAACAAGGUGGCAGAUGCACUCUCACGAAGAGAUGAAGGAGAGAUAGAGGGAAGAGAGCUCCAGGUGAUAUCCAGACCCUUCUGGUCAGACUUUCAAGAGCUUGUAAGAGAAGUGGAGGAGGAUGAAGCAUUAAAAAGGGUGAUUGCUGACAUUCGUAGAGAUCCCAAUUCCCAUGCGGCAUACACUCUAGAAAAUGAUAGACUGCAUUAUAAAGGAAGAAUGGUGCUAUCAACUGAGUCGGUGUGGAUUCCUAAAUUACUAGUAGAGUUUCACAUGACCAAAACAGGAGGACACUCGGGGGUGUAUUGUACAUAUAGGAGGAUAGCCCAAUCCUUGUAUUGGGUAGGUAUGAAAAAGACGAUUACUGAGUUUGUUGCUAGUUGUGUCGUCUGCCAACAGCAUAAGUAUAUGGCAACAUCCCCUCAAGGGCUACUACAGCCAUUACCCAUACCUCAAGCGGUGUGGGAGGAGAUAAGUUUGGACUUUAUUGUGAAAUUACCGAGGUCGCAGGGGCAUGAUGUUAUUCCAGUUGCAGAGAUAUUUACCAGGGAGAUUAUCAAAUUGCACGGAAUUCCGGUCUCAAUUAUAAGUGAUAGAGAUCCAUUGUUUUUGAGCAUUUUUUGGAGAGAGUUGUUCAAAGCAUUGCCUAUCACCCUGAAACAGAUGGGCAAACAAAGGUGGUUAAAAGGAUAGUUAAAGGGUAUUUAUGUUGUUUUUGUUCAGAACAACCCAAGAAUUGGUAUGCAGUAUUGCCUUAGGCAGAAUACUGGUAUAACACCAGUUACCGGGGCUCAGCUAAGUGUACACCAUUUGAAACCGUGUAUGGCAGAGCCCCUCCAUCCUUUAGCAGAUUUAUACCUGGAGAAACACCGGUGGAGGCCAUGGCCCAGGACUUGAUGACACAUGAUGAGGCCCUUAGACAGCUGAAAUUUCACUUGAAUAGGGCCCAAGAUCUAAUGGUACAGCAGGCUAACAAGAAGAGGAGAGAGGCAGAUAUCAAGGUGAAUGAUUGGGUCUAUUUAAAGAUCAGACCUCACCGACAAUCUUCGAUGCCAAUGAGGCUGCAUCCAAAGCUUUCAGCCCGCUAUUUUGGUCCUUUCCAAGUGCUACAGCAGAUAGGCAAUGUGGCUUUGAGACUGAAGCUACCAGAGACCGCAAGAAUUCAUGCGGUAUUUCACGUGUCCCAGUUGAAAAAGGCGGUGGGGGAGCAAAUAGUAGAAAAAGGACUGCCAGAGGAGCUGCAGGCAGAGGGGCCCAGUUUUUAGCCAAUAAAAGUCUUGGACAGGAGGCAAGUUCAACAGGGAGAGGAGUUAUUGAACCAAGUUCUGGUGUAAUGGCAAGAAGGGGGUAAGGAGGGUGCUACUUAGGAAGACGAAGCUACCAUUCAGGAUCAAUAUCCUGAGUUCAACCUUGGGGACAAGGUUGUCGGAGGGAGAGGGAGUAAUGAUAGGAGAUUGUUAGUAUAUGAGAGGAGAAAGAAACGUCAGCAGCUUAACAGUUAGCCUAACUGUUUUAUCAGUUAGGAAUAAAGGGGAACGGGUUGGUAUAAAUAGAAAGAGUGAGUAGAAGGGAGGAAAAUUUAGACUUUUGUAUUCUUUAACAAGAAUUCGUUAUUCCUGCAGGGGGAGGUUAGGCUCCCAGACUACCUUUUUUCAUUGUAUUCUUGCAGUAAAUAAUAUCAGAGGAGGUUAUACAUAGUCUUGGGUGUUGAUUUUGGUAUGUGUUUGUGAUAAUUCUUUAGGUUUCUCGAUUAGAAACCUAUCAUAACAUCCAAAAAAUCUCUUAUCUUAUGUGUAUAUAAAUUCAUGUUCAUCUCUGAUUUUAUCUAUUGUGAGACUUUGUUUGUAUCCAAUUCAUAAGAGUGUUUUUCCUUAUUCAAUUUUUCCAUCUAUUGAUUAUUGUUUUGGGCAACAAAAUCUUACAGAAAAAAGGAAUAAGAAGCAACUGACCUGUUCUGAAUGAGGCAAAUAUUUCCCAUCAAAUGUCACUACCACACGAUCCUUCCCAUUCACUCCUUUAAUUUUGUCAACUGAGCAGUAGAAAUCUAUUGCUGGCAUGCUAAACAUGAGAUGAAAAAAAAAUGAUGAGAAAGAAAAUCUUCAUCUUCAUAUUUUUUAUUUAUGAUAUUAAUAUUUAUUCAUUCAUUUAUAUAGUUUGAUCAGUGUGCCUUGUUUUAUCACCUCUAACAUCAAACUCAAAAUCGUCUAAAAAAUAUACUAUUAAAAUCAAUUUUAUCAGAAGUGUAAUAUGUUAACUUGGAUGGGCAUAAAAUGAACCAAUUUAUCAGAAGCAGUAAGAAGAAAACACUGAAACUUUCCGAAAAUUAGGAUGUCUUUGUGUGUCUUGUCUGAAAUCCCCCUACAACUCCAUAAAUCAACAAAUCAUUUUAUAAUAUGAUACUUCCCUUGGCCCUAGGUUUCUGAACUUUGCUGUACAAGAGGAUUUAAUAUGAGUAUUAAAUCUUCAAUUAUUGGUGGUUAAAAUUGUUGGACCGUGAUUGCAAACAGGAAACCAUGAUCAUAGGACUAUCUAAUGUAUCAAUUGAAGAUGCCCUCUAAGCUUUUCUGCAGUUUGCCCAAGUUUCACAACAAAGAAGUCUUGAUUUAUCACCUAGCUUCAGCACAUGCUUAGUGCACAUUUAGGUUCAUAGCUUAAUACGAAAAGAUGUAUAUAACCAACUGCAAGAUCAGAAAAUAACACACCACCAGUAUAAAAGAUUUUUACACUUGCAUUCAAUAAAUUAUGUUUUGACACACUAUUAACAACUAACAACUUGACAUAAUUGAGUGAAUAUUAAAACAAGCUUUAAUUAAUCAUUUAGUUCGUCAAAUUGGGUAAACAUGAUCCUUCAAGUCUUACCCAAUCAAUGCCCAUCAUCCUAAUUCCAUCCAAUAUUUAAAUAUUUGGUAGAAUCCAAUUGGCGCAAUUGGAAUAUGAAGAACCAAAAUUGCAUAAUGGUGAUAACCUCUCACUUAACAUGCAAUUAAGCCUAAAAAAGUAAUCAAUGAAUUUGUUCAUGAUUAUACUCCCAAUAACUCAUUUCACCGUACACAACAGAUACACUUUUCCACUACAAAUUGAAGUAUAAAAAAGAAGAACUAUGAUGUAUUAUACAAUUUUUUUGGAAGAAACUUAUAUUCAUCACUUAUUACGCUACACUACAUGAUACACUUAUCGUUAGUUUGGAAGCCAACACAAAUCUUUUUACAUAAUUUUCUUUUUUAACUUUUUGAGUCUCUUUACAUUCAUCUUUUAUAUUCAGGUUGUCAUUUAUAAAUCCCAUCACAUUUAUCCUUUCUAUUCAAAUUCAUGUUAAAAAAUCUACGUAAUUUAUUUACUUAGCCUAGCUUAGAAAAUAGAACAGGUAUUCAAACUUAAUAAGUUAUUUUAAGUUGAAAUUUGGAAUGCAAAAUUGUGUCACCUAUUGAGAAAGAGAGUUUAUCUUUCAUAAUAGAUUAUUUUAUCACAAAUACCUUUCAUAAAUUAUAGUCCUUGAAAAAUAAUUGCUUGUUCCUCCAAAACUAGUUUAUUUAUUCUGACUUUCUAGACAUCUUAAAGUUCAUGCACGGUUAUAGAAUAUGAUUAUAGAAAGUUUCGUUUUGUAGAGGCAUCUUUACUAAAAUUACGAUUUGAUAAGAAUUAUUCAUAAAGUCAUGAAAAGUAUUUUAGAUUAAACUAAAUCUAUAACAAUCAUUCUAUUAAACCAAACCACCCAGUUUUAUUAUGUGGACAAAGUACAUGAUGAUAGGAAAGAAACAUUCAGGUACAGGAAAGGAAAGACAAACAUUCAGACUUGUUACAUUAGAAAAGGAAACAUGCUUCCAAUCCUAAUCUUACAUUAAAGAGAAAGAAAACAAACAUUGGAAAUGAAACCCUUAUUAUGACGAGGCUAAGGUGGUUGAUGCAUGAGAGUGAAGGCCUGUUUAGCUGACAGGCAAAAUGCCUCUAAGAACGGGCCAACCAUCAAGGAUAGGCGUGACAUCACCGACAAGAGUGUCAUCAGUUUUACCUGGGGUGAAAAUGAUUCGCACAUACUUGUCUCCUUUGAAAAGGUAAGCUUCAGACUCCUUAUGAGAAGCAAAACAAGCAUCGAUUCCAUUUUCAAAGAUGGUACCUUUCAGAAUAGGAAACCCAUCAGUGAUGUUGCGAAUGUUGCCAACAAGCUGCUUCGAAUCAUAGGCUAUGCUAACAUACUAAAUGCAGAGUCUAUGCCAUCCGCAAACACCGUGUUUCUGAGGAUAGGAAACAUUUGAGCAACAGUGGUAGGACCUGCGAGUAUCUUGUCAUUUGGUGUACCUGGAGCAUAGUCAAUGUAGGCACAGAGGUUGCCGGAAAACACAUAUGCUUCACUCGCUUCAGUGUCAAAGGAACAGUCUAUUCCAGGUUCUGCAAAUGGCGUUCCUGCAAGUGAUGGAAAACCACUACUAAUCAAACGCAGACUGGUCAAAAUCUUGUCAUCAGUUCCUCCGGGAAUAUAAUGCAACCUCACAUAAUUGUUCUUGGCGAAGAAAUACACUUCAUAUUCUCUUGAUGAACGAAAUGCAGCAUUGAUGUAAGGAAGGUUUGACAUUUUUCUUAACACAAGAAGAGGGACUAAG